UUCCAAGAUACCCGCGUGAUCCUAAAUUUUUUUUUUUGUGAAAUUUGAGGAGAGAAGAGUCAAAACUUCUACGUCAGGAGACCUCACCAGAGCGACGAAGGGACUGAGGAGUAAAAAGAAUCCUACUCUCCGAUAUAUAUAAUCCUAAGACUCAAAACAUUUUUGUUCUAGACUCAACAACGCCAGCGAUUCGAUCAAGCAGGGGGCUCCUAAGUCGGGGAUGGCUCUGAUUACCAACUUGUAACGCCCACGAUGCGGCUAUAUCUCCCACGUGUCGAGGCACGACUUAGAGGCAUAAUCGCAUUGUGGUUUUGUCGCAAGAAGGGUCAUCUUCACACAAUCCCAUGUAAUGAACGAGAAUGGGAUAACGAGAGUUGGCUUACAAUCGCCACUUCACACAAUACAUAAAUAUAAUUCAUACAUCAUCCAAAAUCCACACAUAGACCGACUACGGUCAAAUCCAAAUGAAAAUAAGAUAACCCCAAAUGCUAGAUCCCCGAUCGUCCCAACUGGGCUCGACUACUGAUCAUCAGGAAAAGACACAUAGUAACGACCACGUUCCUCAUCGAACUCCCACUUGAGGUCGAUCCCAUCAUCUGCACUGGCAUCGUCGGCACCUGCAACUGUUUUGGUAGAAUCUGUGAGUCACGAGGACUCAGCAAUCUCACACCCGCGAGAUCAAGACUAUUUAAGCUUAUAGGAAAGGAUGGUGUAAUGAGGUGGAACUGCAGCAGGCACUAAGCAAAUAUGGUGGCUAAACAUACGCAAAUAAGAGCAAGAAAAGAAGCAACGCAACGGUCGCGAAGCUAGAAAUGAUCAAGAAGUGAUCCUGAAACUACUUACGUUCAUGCAUAUUUCUGGCAUGUUUAUGAAGCUAUCCAUGGCAGGAGCAAGUACAUAUCAUGUAUGAAACAACUACAACAAGCUUGGCAAAAUUGAAUAUCAUGUUAACAAUCUACCAGAAAUAUUUUAUAGCAAAAGUAGAGCAAGCUUGAGUCAUGCUAUGGCACUCCAUAAUUGCAAACAAGGGCAUGAAUGGAUCAACUACAACCAUAUCUACAAAACAUCCUUACUGAACAUCCACAAAAGAAGCAUGAAUCUCUCUGUAGCCACAUGGAUACAUAGCAACAAAAUAACAGCAGUCACAGACUUGGAGAAAUUACUGUCCCUGAAAUCAGAAACAUCACGAGGCCUAGUUUGCAUGCUUGUGCUAGUCACCACAGAGAUCGGAUCUAUAUGCAGAAAGUUAUGGAGCAAAAUGAAGAGCAUCUAGGGGCGAACAUUUCGAUAUAUUACAUGCGUGAAACGGAGCUAUAUGCAGAAAGUUAUGAUGCGAUGAACAUGUGCACAUAUUGUAAAAAUAUUAGGACUUAGAGGAUUUUCGGGGAAGGAGAAGAAAAGUCAACCGUGGCUUUUCCCAGAUCGGAUUGGCCGAAGCUCGAGCUCGAGCUCGCCGGAGCUGGAAGGGCGACGCGGCGGCCAGAGACGGAGGGCGGGGCGGCGACCGGAGAGGAGGGAGAGUGCGGCGGAGAGGAGAAAGACGGCGAGGCGCGGCGAGGAGGAGCGGAACGCCGCGGGGCGUGGUCGCCGGCGGUUGCAGACGGUGGCGCCGGCGGAUGAGGUCGCCGAAGGGCGGCGAGGUNNNNNNNNNNNNNNNNNNNNNNNNNNNNNNNNNNNNNNNNNNNNNNNNNNNNNNNNNNNNNNNNNNNNNNNNNNNNNNNNNNNNNNNNNNNNNNNNNNNNNNNNNNNNNNNNNNNNNNNNNNNNNNNNNNNNNNNNNNNNNNNNNNNNNNNNNNNNNNNNNNNNNNNNNNNNNNNNNNNNNNNNNNNNNNNNNNNNNNNNNNNNNNNNNNNNNNNNNNNNNNNNNNNNNNNNNNNNNNNNNNNNNNNNNNNNNNNNNNNNNNNNNNNNNNNNNNNNNNNNNNNNNNNNNNNNNNNNNNNNNNNNNNNNNNNNNNNNNNNNNNNNNNNNNNNNNNNNNNNNNNNNNNNNNNNNNNNNNNNNNNNNNNNNNNNNNNNNNNNNNNNNNNNNNNNNNNNNNNNNNNNNNNNNNNNNNNNNNNNNNNNNNNNNNNNNNNNNNNNNNNNNNNNCGAGGAGGCGGCGGCGGACGUGUCCGGCGCUGAGGAAGACGCGUCCGGCGGCGCGGAGGGGAAAAUGAUCUAGGGUUUCGCCCGAAUUUCGGAGGGGGAGGUGUAUAUAUAGGUAGAGGGAGCUAGGAGAGUCCAAAUUGAGCACGGUUUUCGCCCACACGAUCGUGAUCGAACGACCUAGAGCAUGGAGGUGACUUAGAGGGGUUUUGGGCUGUUCGAAAGGGGGGGUUUUGCUGCAACACACGAAAGGACUUUGCGGUUGCCCGGUUAACCGUUGGAGUACCAAACGACCUCCAAAUGGAACGAAACUUGACAGGUGGUCUGCCGGUGGUAUACCAAGGCCACUUGGCAAGCCUCGGUCCAUUCCGAGAACGUUUAACACCCGCUCACGAAAAGAAACAAGAGGGGUGCGCCGGAGGAGGUGGGAGUGCCGGAUUGCAAAACGGACAACGGGGAAAAUGCUCGGAUGCAAAAGACGAACACGUAUGCAAAAUGAGAUGCACAUGAUGACAUGAUAUGAGAUGCAUGACAUGAACAAAAUGCAAAACGGAAAAACAAAACCCGACCACGAAGGGAAUAUCAUAACACAUAGCCGAAAAUGGCAAGAGUUGGAGUUACAAAUAUGGAAAGUUACAUCGGGGUGUUACAUGGUAGACCCAAGUACUUCCCUUCCGUGGACUCGCUUCCCAGCUGGAGCUCUUGCAAGAGCAAGUUCUUGCAAGACUGCUUGGCAUUGGAGCUGAACAUCACCGAAGAUUUUUCUCGGUUAAUCACGUGGCCAGAGCACUCUUCGUACUCAUGUAAUAUGGAGUUGAUAGUUUGUACUCCUUGGGUAGUAGCUUCUAGGACCAGUAACGAGUCAUCUGCGAAGAGCAGAUGAUUAACUCGCGGUGCCGUCGGUGCAAGUUUGAUUCCUUUAAUCCGAUUCUCCGCAUCAGCUUUGUUUAGCAUCGCUGACAGCCCUUCCACACACAGAAGGAACAGGUAGGGGGAGAUAGAAUCCCCCUACCUUAGCCCCCUGCCUGGAACCACAACAUCUGUGAGCGUGCCGUUCACUUUGAAUCUAUAUGACACCGAACUCACACACUUCAUGAUCAGCUGCACAAACUCCUCCCUGAACCCCAUCUUCCUCAUCAUCCCUUCGAGGAAAAACCACUCAACACGAUCGUAUGCUUUGCUCAUAUCCAACUUGAGUGCCAUGUAAACAUCCUUGCCCUUCCUUUUCCUUUUCAUGAAUUGGGUCAUCUCAUAGGCAAGAAUAGUAUUAUCCGAUAUCAACCAUCCCGGCACAAACGCACUCUGGUUGUCAGAGAUAAUUUCAUCCAAGAUCAUCUUGAGUCGGUUGGCGAUAACUUUUGACACAAGUUUGUACACCACAUUGCAAAGGCUAAUAGGGCAAAGAUCUUUGAUUCGAUCAGGGUUCCGAACCUUUGGGAUAAGCACAACAAUUGCUUCGUUCCAUCCCUCCGGUAUACAGCCGCCUCGCAACACAUGUAACACCUCUUGUGUAACCGCAUCACCCACAGUAGUCCAUAAUCUCUUAUAGAAAAUCACUGGCAUACCAUCCGCACCUGGGGCUUUGAGAUCCCCCAUAUCGUCAAGUGCUUUCUUGAUUUCCUCCGGAGUGUACUCCUUACCUAACAUCUCGUUCAUCUGUUCUGUAACUCGUGGCUCCACAUCUUGUAACACUCUGUUGUGGUUAGCUCCAGCUCCUGCCCUGGCCGUAAACAAGUGUGUGAAAUGAUUAGUCACCAAGUGAAUGGCAUUUUUCAUGUGAACAGUAUUAGCUCACGACAUUGUAUUGUAGCAAGAUAUACGGCCGGUGUCCUCGUUGGAGAUGCACUCCACUUCCUCCUUGGUGGUGGGCUGAUAUGUUCAUGAACAACAGAUUUCCAAGUAUGACUUGGUUGGAAAGUGCAUAACCAUCUAGUGCUACGGAACUACUAGGAACCUAUUUUUACCCUAGGCAGAUGUAACGGCGGGAUAUAUGCAUUUGUCUUGGUUACAAACAUUCUCGAUUGGGAGAACAUGGCAUGCUUUGAAACAGAUAACAAGCCAACACCAUAAUUGUCACUGCAACUUAUUCCAACUAUGAUCUUUGCAGUUCACAAAACGAUGAUGUAUGAAUGGCGAUUUCCAUGGACACAUUACAUUUGGAAGAGAACAAGAGGCAUUUUUAACUUUGAAGGGCUGGGCCAUCCAGUUUGUCCUCUUUUUCCUGUAGGAAGUUAAAGCAAGGAUACUCCAGGACCAAAGGCGGCAUAUCAAUACCUGUUACCUUUUCCUAAAAAAAAUCAAUACCUGUUACCUCGAAUUCUGGCACAGGUCCACCUGCAGAUGUCAUCCAGCGAAAAUGGGAUGCUGCAACGAGACGUGCCAUGAACAAUUAACAUUUGUGAGCAGGCUUUAAGAAAAACCAGUGACUGUUGAACAUGCAAGAGGAAAGUAAACCUUAAGUCGUCAUCCAAUAAGAAAGGAACAAUCACUCCAUUUUCCGAAUUUUCAGUCACAAUUGCUUUCAUACUUGAGAUGGUCUGCAGUUUGUUUUCCUUUGUCAGACUCACAAAUAUGUGAAACUUGAACAGACUGGCAAUUUACUAACUAGAACAGGCUACCUCUGACAAAACAUUCUGGGUGCCGAAUUCGUCAUCCCAAAACAUCGUACUGAUACGGUAUAUCUGUACUAUGCUAAGGACCUGAAAAUUUGUAAAACGAAUGAUAAGUUGCCCAAUACGCGUAGAUGAGUGACUAAACUUAACCGAGUUCAGAUACCACUUAUAGGGCACAAAUCGUUGGUGAUCUCUUCGAGUGUUUUCCAUUGCUUCUGGGAAGUAAGCUGAGGAGAAAAUUUGUUAGAUCCAGUUUUUACCAAUAACAUUGCAAAUGAAACAGCCAUACACUCAGUCAAUACAGACACUUACAAGGAAUGCAACAGCCUGGCUAAUGUGCUUCAGUUCAUCCCAGGAACAUCCUGCAUACUAUGUGUACCAUAUCAUUAGCAUAGAGGUUAAAAAUGUCUGGAAAAAAAUCAUCCAUACCUCUUUAGUCGCAUCGAUGCUCCACUGUUCUACUCUACCAAUCCAGCCUUGACAUAUUCUUCAUUGCUAAAUGAACAACACUCUCGUCCGAGAAGCAGACUACAAGAUACAGAGUAUCUUAGAAGCCUUAAGGAAAAAGGUGCAACAAAGUACAGAGCUCGGGAGGGAGAAUCUUACCUAUGGAACAACUCGACAUUAAUAUAUGAAAAUAUUUGAACGAACAGCUUGGAUAUUAAGAAUGAAGGAACUUGUACAAUAUCAAUAGAUCAUAUGUCAAUGUGUAUCAUCAUUACUUGAAAGGGGUAUGCAAGAACUCAUUCAUGCUUAUACAUAAUUGGAUUUCAAAACAUUCAGGUAGUUUCUUAAUAUUUGCACAAUACUCUGCCAAUGCCCGAUCGGAGCUUGCUGAGCCAAGACGUUUGCUACAGAAGCUCCACUAAUCAGACUUGCACGAAAUGUUCUUGGUGCCUGCAAAGAAAAGUGUAAGUAAGCUGAACCUCAAGGCUUACCUUCUACUCCCUCCGUUCCAAAUUAUUACAUGUUCUAACUUUUUUCCAGAUCCGAACUAUAGACACGUUUUAGUGUAUUUGUUCACUCAUUCCAGUCCGUAUGUAGUCCAUACUGAAAUAUCUAAAACAUCUUAUAAUAGUGAAUGGAGGGAGUACGUUAAAAGAAAUCUAGUGCUCCCUCCGUCCGGAAUUACUUGUCGCGGGAACCUGUGUAUCUGAACAUAUUUUUAGUUUUAGAUGCAUCCAUUUCUGCGACAAGUAAUUUGGGACGGAGGGGGUAUAGUUUAUACAUACUUGAGUACACAUAUCAAGAAAUGUCGAUACCUCUCUUCAAAUUGUCUCUUAUCGUUGUAUACAUAGAGGCAUCAGAGAUCCCUGGAUGAAGAUAAUUUUUCUGUGCUAUGCCCCAAACAUGUUCUCAAAGAUAGUAGCUUUUCAGUGCAAUUUCAGCUGUAGGUCUGGAAUUGUCUACAGGUCAUUUGGAGUCAUGGAUCCUCAGGGAAUUCAUUAUUGAUGCCAAGGCUAGUUUUGGCCAUCCUUUCUUCCUAUAAGUGGCAUUUACUGCUACAUGGAACAUAUGGAUCAUUAGGAAUGGCAAGAUUUUCAGAAAUGAAAGACCAACCUUUACUGCCUGGAGGAGCAAGUUCAUUCAUGACAUCACUUUGCUCUCACACCAUUUCAAGGACUCAAUCAAGCCAAAGCUUUCAGCCUAGAUUGCUUCUCUGCCUUAAUUGUACUCUAUGUUGUGCUAUUGUAUAGAGUAAGUUGUAUAUAGGUAAGCUAUAUAUUCUCUUCUUAGGUAGAUAGCGUUGUUCCUUAGUUUAGGAAGUUUUUGUUUUCUCUUUUCUGUCCUGGACUUUUGUUUUUUGUUUGUGCAAUUUUAACAUGCUCCCUCUUACCCCCUCUUUUCACACGAGAGGUAAGAGUAGAUAAUAGAUCUGAGCCGUUGAUCUCAUUAAUUAGUGGUUUGAUUAACUCUUACCUUCUUACCUCACAUGUAAAAAGAAGGGGUAAGAGGGAGCAUGUUAAAAUUUGCCUUUGUGUUUUGAGUUUUAAUAAAGCGCCGUGGGGCUUUUACCUCACAGAUUAUAGUAAAAAAGCAAAUAAUUUACUGGAAACAAAGAGCAACAAUCAGAGUGAUUAAAAUGGGAGAAGCAACCAAACAUUUCCAAGCUAAAGCUACUAUCAAGUUUAGAAAGAAUCAAAUUGUUAUGCUCAAAGAUUGGGUUUUGAAUACCAUGAUCAUCAUUCUAAAGCUACUAUCCUUUUUAGAGCUUUCAAGGACAGAUUGGGAUCCAACACCCCUACCCAUAAUCCCUUGAUCUUGCAUAACCUCCUGGAGCACCAUGAUGAUCUUCUAGAUCUGGAAACACCUUUCACUAAGUCAGAAAUUGAUGAUGUGGUCCAAAACAUACCCGCUGAUAAAUCCCUUGGCCCUGAUGGAUUUAAUGCUGCUUUUUUGAAAGCAUGCUAGGAUAUUGUGGCUCCAGACUUUUACAGACUAACUGGGGAUUUCUAUAAUGGAUCAAUCAAUAUUCAGAGCAUCAACUAUUCCUUCAUAGCACUUAUACCCAAGAAAGAUGUUGUUUCCCCUGGAGAUUUCAGACCUAUUUCACUCCUUAAUUGCACCCUGAAGAUCAACACUAAGCUCCUGGCCAAUAGACUCCAAAAUGUCGUCUUCAAACUUGCACAAAAAAAUCAAUAUGGCUUCCUCAACAAUAGAUGCAUACAAGGCUGCCUUGCUUGGUCAUAUGAAUAUAUACAUUAGUGUCACCAGACAAAGAAAGAGAUCAUCCUACUUAAACUGGAUUUGGAAAAAGAAUUUGACAUGGUGAACCAUGACACCCUCACUGAAAUCUUGCAAGCCAAAGGUUUUGGGGAUAAUGGAUGCAAUGGAUUAAGAUGAUAUGUAGUACCGGCUAUUCCUCUGUUAUUCUCAAUGGCCUCCCAGGCAAACAAUUUCUAUGUAAAGAAGUGUGAGACAAGGAGAUCCUCUAUCCCCUUUGAUAUUUGUUGAUCUUUUGCAAUCUAUGCUCAAUGAAGCCAUGCUUAAUUCCCUGGUUGAAACUCCCCUGCUCCACCACUCAUGCCCUAAUUUUCCUAUCAUGCAAUAUGUUGAUGACACUAUUUUGGUGGUCAAUGUUGAUGCCCCACAAUUGAGCCAUAUUAAGAAUUGGUUGCUUCACUAUGUUGCAUAUACUGGAUUAAAAAUUAACUAUGCCAAGUCAACCAUGAUUCCUAUCAACACUUCAGAACCCAAGAUGCAUGAGUUGUCCCUGCUAUUUGGCUGCCAAGUUGGUACUCUGCCACACACUUACCUGGGUCUUCCCCUGAGGCUCAGCAAACAAAGAAUUUAAGACUUUGUACCCAUGCUGAAAAGAAUUGAGAAUAGACUAUUGGGUUGCUCCACUCUCCUAUCUACAGGUGAUAAACCUCAUACUCAUCAAAUCAGUUUUCUCCAGCAUGCCAAUCUUCAUUAUGUGCUCCUUAUGAUCCCUAUGAUAGUAGUUAAGCAACUCAACAUCUACCUCAAACACUGUUUUUGGAGAAAGUAUGGUACAUAGGAAAAAGGAACUGCAUUGAUUGCCUGGGAGAAAGCAUGCUUGCCCAAAUCACAUGGUGGUCUGGGUAUCCUAGAUAUUACAACCUACAAUCAGGAACUAUUGAUGAAAUAUCUUCACAAGUUUCUCAAUAAGGAGGACAUCCCCUGGGUUAAUAUCAUUUGGGAAUCACAUUACUCUAACUCUUUGCAUGGGGAUAAAAUUGUUGGAUCAUUUUGGUGGAGAUCUAUUCUUAGACUUCUGCCCAAAUUCAAGCAAUUUGCUAUAUGUAAAGCUGGUAGAGGGGACACUGCCCUAUUUUGGACAGAUAAAUCGAUGGAUCUACCACUUAUCCAGAAAUUGAGCCCUACUCUUUCACAAUAACAAGGAAAUUUCCCUGCAGAUGAGCGAGGCUAGGGGAUAGUUGUAAUACAGGGAAGAGCUCUCGCCCGAGCCGCUCCCCCGGGCGGCAAGGCGAACCCUAGUCGUCGCCGGACCGCUCCUCUUCCUCACCUUCUCUCCUCCUCGCCGCCGCCGGAGGGCUCCGCCGGGUGAAGCCCGGUCGGCAUCGGCGGCGGCGGGGUCCUCUGGCCUCCCUCCCCUGUUGCUCGCAGCGCGGGCGCAUCGGCUUGGCAGGGACGCGUCGCUCGCGCGGUGCAGUGCAGCGGUGACCCGGGCGGCCGUGCCGGCGAUGCGGCUUGCCGGUGGAGCGGCGGCGGCUGCGCGGUGGGCGAGGUGGAGUUGGCGGGGUCGGCUCUACUGCGGGUGGUGUCGCCGACGGCCCAGAUCCCCUUGUCAGCCGACUUGGGCUGUGGCAGCUUGGACCGGAGGGCAUACUGCCUUGGCUGGGUGGUGCUCCGAUGAGGCUGAGGGGCCUCCUGCUGCUGUUGGCUGGCGGCGGGAGAGGCUCGGGGGGUGGAGUGUGGCGGCACGGGGGCGGGCAGCGGCCUCGGUGGCGCGCCCCUCUGCUGUAGGGCAGUUCGGGGCUCCCCUCGGGGUCCCGGCAUGGAUUUGGACUGCCAUGGCGUGGUGGUGGCUCAUAGCGGUGGUUCGGGUUGGCUCACGGUGGCGGUUGGACAUCUCCGGCGUCGGUUCAUCGGUGAGCGGCCUGUUUCGGCUUUGACCCCUCUUCUCGUCGUCCGGGCACUACCCUCGUUGAAGGGCUGGCCUUCUCCCCGCUGCAGUCCAGUGCUCGUCUCGCGCCUGGUGUUGCGGGAUCGAGCUCGUCUCGCGCCCGGCAACAGGACCGAGUUUGUCUCGUGCCUGGCAGCAGGACCGAGCUGGUCUCGUGCCCGGCAGCAGGACCAAGCUCAUCUCGCGCCUGGCUGCAGAAUCGAGCUCGCCUCGCAUCCGGCGCAGCAGGACGGGUCACCGGAGGCCAGUUUUGGCCGGCCUUUCGGGUUUCGGCGAUGGGGGCUACCCAGGAGUGUGAAAGGCGAGGCCUUUCCACUCGUCUCUUUGGUUGGGGUAGCGACGGGGCUCGGGUGAGAUGGUGUCAAGGUCUUAGAUGCUGGGGCAGCGACCCUGGUGGUGGUAGCGCGGUGCUCAUGGGCAGAGCCCGUGGCUUGGUGUUGCCCGGUGACCAUGGCCGUGUGGGCGGCAUGGUGGCUGGGGUGUGGCGUUCGGUGGCGGUGAGUGUUGGCCGGGGUGAAAACAUGUUUUAUCUUCGGACGGAUCGGCAGCGGCGUAGCGCGUUCCCUUCUUGAAGGCGUCGUCGCGGCUCUUAUCGGUCAUCGUGUUGCUCUAGGGCAAACUCUGAUCCUCGGGUCGGGCGGUGGCGGCACGCUAGCGUCGUAACCUUCUUGAAGGCACCGCCUUGGAGCACACGGUUCUUCAUAUGUGGCUUCAUCUCUUCGCGGUGGCGUGUUCACGGUGGAGGACCCCGAUUGCUCUUGUAGUGUUAGGGGUGGUGUUGUUGCGCUCAGCGCCUAUGUAUCCCGCCUUGGGUGUGUGCGUGUGUUGUCGUGGGGUGCGUUUGUACUUGGGCUGUGGUUAAUCAUUGCUUUAUAUAUGCAUUACCACAGAUUGAACACCUAUUUCAGAGACCACUAUCACAAGAAGCAUUUCACCAGUUCACCAUCCUCCAAUCUGCCUUAUUAACAGACCUCUGUCAAAUGUGCAAGAUCAAUGGACUUACCCUUGGGCAGCCAAACACUACUCCAUGAAAAUGUACAACCUUUUGAUUGGUGCUAGCUCUGCUCACAACAUCCUCAAGCUGCUCUGGGGUACCUCCUGUAAACUCAGACAUAAGAUAUUAUUCUAGCUACCACUGCAUGAUCGUGUCAAUACCAGAAAUCUUCCGAACCGCAAGAACGUAUACCUGGAGAACUAUAACUGUGCCCUAUGUUCAGAAAACACUGAGGAAACUGCAAUGCAUCUGUUUUGGGAUUGCACAUUUGCUCUAGACUGCUGGGGACACAUUCUUCCAUCUAAGAGCAUCUCCAAUAGAUGAUCCAAAUGUAAAAGUAACUAACUUUUGGACCGUCUAAGGCCAAAAACGCAGCUCCAACAGACAGUCCGUAUGUAAAAAAAAUAGACCGCGGCCUCCUCGUGAUGUAAAAUACAACACCUCGUGGUGCAAAUUUACAUCACGAGGUGCAUCUGGUCCAAAACCAGCCGCCGCCCGCGAACGCCCAACCGCCACUUCCUUUCCUUUCCCGCCCGCCCGUCCGCCGCCGCCCCGCCGCCUCCACACCCCGCCGCCGCCCCGCCGCACGCCGCCCGCAUCNNNNNNNNNNNNNNNNNNNNNNNNNNNNNNNNNNNNNNNNNNNNNNNNNNNNNNNNNNNNNNNNNNNNNNNNNNNNNNNNNNNNNNNNNNNNNNNNNNNNNNNNNNNNNNNNNNNNNNNNNNNNNNNNNNNNNNNNNNNNNNNNNNNNNNNNNNNNNNNNNNNNNNNNNNNNNNNNNNNNNNNNNNNNNNNNNNNNNNNNNNNNNNNNNNNNNNNNNNNNNNNNNNNNNNNNNNNNNNNNNNNNNNNNNNNNNNNNNNNNNNNNNNNNNNNNNNNNNNNNNNNNNNNNNNNNNNNNNNNNNNNNNNNNNNNNNNNNNNNNNNNNNNNNNNNNNNNNNNNNNNNNNNNNNNNNNNNNNNNNNNNNNNNNNNNNNNNNNNNNNNNNNNNNNNNNNNNNNNNNNNNNNCCCGCCCGGCUCCAUCCGCCACCGCCCCUCAGCUCCGCCCCGCCCGGCUCCGUCCGCCACCGCCCCGGCCGCAAGCGGUGCCGCUCCACCGCUCUCCGAUGGCGCCGAAGAAGACGCCGAAGGACAAGUCGGGCUUCUUCGGUGUGAGGCAGAAGCCCUCCGGUAACUUCGGAGUGGAGUUCUCCGACGCCGGGAGGCAUUGGUGGAUCGGCACGUACCCCUCCGCCCACGAGGCCGCGCGUGCCUACGACGUGGCGGUGUGGCGUGCCGAGAGGCCUCGGGAGCACCUCAACUUCCCAGAAAUCGAGAGUCGGGCGAAAGCGGAGAUGCUUGCGCCGCAGGGCAUCAAGAUGAAGGAGAUCCCAACGAAGAAGAAGACGACCAAGAAGCCGUCGGUUGUCGUCAGUGCUGGCGAGACCGACGAGGAGGCGAUGGCGAGGUUUGCUCGGGAGCAUCCGGAGCACGUCCAGGACGAGCUGGAGUAAUACUGGAAGCGUGAGGCGGAGCAGAAGAAGAAGGGGGGUGAAGAAGGAGGACGAGGCCGGCCCCUCGACGGUGAUCCCCAUCGAUUCCUCUUCCAAGGAGGACUGGGCAGACUUCUCGGAGGAGGAGGAGGGGGAUGCGAUGACCCGGAGAAGGAGGAGUUCUGGGCGCAGUUCCGCAUCUCCGACGAUGAGGAGUAGUUUAUCUAGUAGUUUGAAUAAGUAGUAGUUGAAGUUCAUGUAUGAAACUAUGUUGAAUUUGAUGUUUGAACUAUGUUGAAUGGACUAGUAGUUUAUCGUUUUACAUCUUCAUUUUGGAUCAUCUAUUGGAGUUGCUCUUUUAGACCAUCAAUUUGGACCAUCUGUUGGAGUUGAGCUUUUUUCGGAGCUCCAAAACGCACUUUUUGUCGGUCCAAAUUUUACAUCUCCGGUUUUGGACCGCCAAAUUUUGGACCAUCUAUUGAAGAUGCUCUAAGAACAGGGGUAUAUCCCCCUAUGACGAAAUUCAGCUUGACUUUCUUGAUUUGCUGAAGGAAUUUGCACUAGAUAUUAUUGUCUUGGUUUGCUGGAGCAUUUGGUCGAUCAGGAACGACAAAAUUUUCAGGUCUGCAACUCCACACCUAUUAAGUUGGGUUCACUAUCUUUUUUUCUAUGUAAUGCCAUCACGACGGAUUAUAUUAAUUGUGGAAAUAACGAUACAUCAUCCGCUAGUACAUGAACUAAAAACUCCGGUGGAUCCACAUUCCAGACAAUGUUUUGUGGAUCUACCAGUUAGCUACAAUCAUCAUCUCUAUUAGCCUCCCUAGGACAACUAGAAGAACGCCCGUGCGUUGCAACGGGGCCACAUUAAAUUUAAAAGUUCAAUAUCAAUUAUGUUAAUAUUACAUUUAAUAUUCUCAUACAUAUUAAGUGACAUUGACGACCUUUUUUACCAUCAAAUUCUCACACACACACCCUCUCCCUCCCUCUUCCUCACUCUCUCUCCCCCUCUCCCUCACUCGAGAGGUGGGACGAAAAUAAACCCGGAACGGAGACUACCAACUGGGACAUUAGGAGUAGAGAUCAUUUAGUUGAUAAGAAUAAAUAGAAAACGGUGUUAAAAAGGAGAAACAAAUUAGAAUACAUUGAAAAACCAAAAGGACGAUGUAAAAGGGGAUUCGCCCUGCCCCCCGGGCCUUGCCACCGAACCGGCUCAGCGGUCCAGUCCCCGCGCGGUCGUCUUCUCCUGUUCCCCGAGCCGCGUCGCUACAGAGCCGGGCUCCUGCCCGACCACCUCGCUGGCAUCGAAGGGGAAUGGAUAAGGGUGAUGCCCUUCCUUCCCUGCCCCCAUGGCCUCACUCCUCCUUGACGCCCCCUCCCAAAUCCACUUCUCCUCACUCGCUCGAUCCCAUCGAUCUGGACGAAGUCAGACGCCACGGCCACCAUGACCGACCCCGUCCACAUGGCCACUGCCCUCCCUGCGGACUAGGAGCUUGUCGAGGAGCUCCGAACGCCUUCGCUACUUCGUCUGCGCCAACGAGAUCAAGUCCAGCACCCCCGCAUCGACGUCGUUGCCGUAUUCCUCAACCUUGGGCCACCGCGACAUUGUCGUUCGAUCCGCGCCGCCCCGAGCUCCCAUGUCUUCCCCUAGGGCGCCAUUGACACCGCCAUGAUCUCCUCUUGCCUUUCCCCUGUUUCCCCUCUCGUUUGCUCUCGUUAGGUAUUUCGCCGUGGCCGAGAACCGCCGUCCGCCAUGGCCAUUGCAGGGGUAGCCACCGAGCUCCUCGGAUUGACCCCGUGGCACAUGCCCGCUCCUAUGCACGCCCAUGCCCGAGCCUGCCGCUCUUCUUCCGCGCCCGUGGGGCCACUCCCUCUCCAUGCCCACGCCCGUGCUACACCGCGUCGAUCGCGCCCGCCGCUGCCGUCGCGCUCGCCGCUGCCACCGCACCACUGUGCCCCGCGCGACACACACCCUGACUGCGCACCACACUCUCGCUGGCUGCGCUCGCCCCGUCUGCUGCCGCCUAUCCCUUCGCUCGCCCCGCUGUCGCGCCCCUGCCUCGCGCCGCCUCCAGUCGUGGCCAUCUUCUGCCGGCCGCCCCCUCAGCCACGCCGGCCGCCUCUCUGCCCUCCACCGCCGGCCGCUCGCCUCGCCUGCUGCGUGUUGCUUCCUGCUGCUAUGCGCUGCUCUACCGCUGGUACGCUGCUGCGCCAUGCCCUCGACACCGCCGUGGACAAAUGUGGCGGAGGGAUUGUUAAUGGAGUACGAGAAGGAGGUGGCAGAGAAGGUGUGGAGAGGCAGGAGGUCUGGGGCGGUGUCACCUAGCUGUGGUGGAGGCGUUUAUGCAAGAAGGAGCCGGAGUGGAAGGAGAGGUCACAAUUGGAAAGAAUCGCAAAAAAAACAUCAUAACCCGGAGAUCUCAGUUCAAAAAAAUGCUAAUAUCGAUGGAGGGGUGAUUUCCUUCAAUAGGUGAAAAACAUAGGAAAUAUUGGUUGUUAUCAAGGAAACGUAAAAAUUUAGGAAAGUUAGGAUUUUUAAACUGAUUUCUAUGCAAAUGGGGUUUUAUUGUUUGGUAACGUGAUAUCAGUACCUGCCCGUUUGUGACGUGUCUGAUUAGGAAAGUUUGCAAAUGUUAAGAAACUAUUUAUUAGGAGGAAAGUUGUGACGUGUCUGUUAUUUGUUUCCUAAAACAAAUUUCACUACUAAGAGAAAUCGAUUGAUUUAGAUAAGUUAGGAAAGUUAGGUUAAAAUGUAUUAUUUGUUUCCUGAAAAUCUGUUAUUUGUUUCCUAAGACAAAUUGAACCAAUAAAAGGAAUCGACUGAUUUGCAUAAUUUAAGGAAGUUAGAUUAAAAUGUAUUAUUUGUUUCCUGAAAAUCUGUUAUUUGUUUCCUAAGACAAAUUGAACCAAUAAAAGGAAUCGAUUGAUUUGCAUAAUUUAAGGAAGUUAGAUCCGUGAUUUGUUAUACGUUAGGAAAGUUCUGGUUGUUAUAAAGAGUGGAGAGAAAAAUAAACCGAUGAACCAGGGUGGGAGGGGGUGGUGGGAGAAGAGACAAAAAAAACCAUGGAAAAUAAACCGCGGACCAGGGUAGGAGGGGGUGGUGGGAGGAGAGACGAAAAAAAAACAGUGAAAAUAAACCGCGGAGACAAUUCACCAACUCGUCCAUUAAAAGUAGAGAUGAUUUAUUAUUACGUGAUCAAAAUUAUGAACUAGAAAGGAGCACUCCUCGUAGAUCGCCGUUGCUGGUCCUAUGGAGUUGCCACCAUGUUGCAUUACAUCGACAACCUCCAUGUAGUCUGAUUCGACCAUGAUCCAAAAGGGAAGUUGGGUUCACUAUCUAAAAGGACUAUGGGCAGCACAAAUCAAAGCUAAACCUUCCAAGACUGACAAGAUCAAGCAUUGGGUUGAACAGCACCUUUAAUUUUUAAUACUCCCUUCGUUCAUUUUUAUAAGUCGUUUUAGACAAGUGGAAUUGAGCUAUUUUACACAUUGUCUGAAACAUCUACAAAGCCUUAUAAAAGUGAACAGAGGGAGUAAGUAGAAUAAUACCUAAAGCUGGUAUUGAAUGAUUGUAUUUAUUUUUUCUAUUUUUGACCUUACUGUAAAUAUACUUUAAUUAAUGAAAAUUACAAUAGAACGAUUGUUCUACGGUUUGGGCUUGAAAAAGAAAAAUCUCCUUUGUUUCUCGGAAUUAGUUUGUUGUACAUGCAUUCCUACGUAGCGCAGGAGUUCUGAUACUCCUAUUUGCUAUAUUUUUCUUUCUCCCAGAAUCAAUCAAUCGUACAAUGUUCUGCAUCGAGGACAUGGUUUCAAGGAAUCCAGCAACACAAUGCAAGGGAAGUAAAACAAACAACGAACCAUUAUUGAGAACAACAGUGGUGCGGCAACUGAAGCUGUAGCCAUGGGCUGCUAUUCUGUUCUCUGCCAAAGGAAGUCGAAGCGAGGAUUCUCCCGGAUCAGAGGUGGCAUAUCAACAUCUGUUAACUCAAAUUCCUUCAUUGACUCCAGGACGUCGUCCACCGAGAAUGGAAUGCUGUAGUUACAAGUGCCAUGGGAGAUCAGAUUUUUGCGAAAAGUGCAGUUAUCAUCGAUUUAACUUGACUCGGGCUGAACAAUCACCUUGGUGAGUCAUCAUGCAACAGCACAGAAUCUUGUUUUGGCUGGAAUUCCAACCUCAUGUAAUGGUCUCGUACAUUACACCUCUCAUCAAAUGUCAUUACACUUUCCAUGCUUGAAAGCACCUACAAUCAUGCUUUUCUUCAUCAACAACCACAGGCAUAUCAUAAAUAGAUAUGGACACUGUGACUGGAAACUGAACUUUUGCUACUCCAAAUGGAACACAUUUGAUGAUUUUGCCACAGCUCUCACCGACAAUGGUGAUUAAAAGGAGCUUACUUCAGUAAGGGGUGAAACAUCAUGGGUGCCAUAUCUAUCACCCCGGUAAAGCUUACUGAUUCGGUAUAGCUGUGGUAUGCUAAGCACCUGAAAGCUUACAACACGAGUUACAUGUACCCAACAGACGUGAUAAUGAGUGACUGUACUUAACAGAGUUCAAACACCACUUACAGGGCAGAAAUGGCAGGUGAUUUCUUCCAAUGUUUUCUUCUCUUUUUCACGCAUACUCUAGUAAGUCAAUUCGUUAGGUUAUCCACUCAGCAACUUGCAAAACAAACGCCCCGUCAAUAUAGAACACUUACAAGGAAUAAAGCAGCCGUUCUAAUGUGCUUCAAUUCUUCCCAGGAAGAACCUACAUACUGUGUACCACAUAUCAUUAGCUUACAAAUUAAACAAGCUGGGGGCGGGGUGGAGGGAUGGAGAGAGAGAGAGAGAGACCUGUUCAGUCUCAUAAAUGCACCACUGUUCUAACUUAGCUAAUCCAGCUUUGACAUAUUCUCCGUCAGUUAACGAACAGCACUGAGAUAGGAGCACUCUACAGGAUAAGGAGCAUUGCAAGAUUAUUAUUAGUAUCUUCAAAUAGUUAAGAAUCUUAAUUUAAAGUGUAUAAUAAUGCUAAAAUCUUACUUAUUGAAUAACUGGGCAUCAAUAGAUGAAAACACUUGAGUGAAUAUCUUGCUGAUUAAGAAUGAUGGGACCUGUACAAUUAGUAGAAGCCAUGUCAAUGCAUCCACUUACUUAAAACAUUAUACUCCCUCCAAUCCAUAUUUUGUCGCUAAUUUAGUACAACUUUGUACUAAAUCAGCGACAAUUAAUAUGAGUCAGAGGGAGUACAUGAUUACUCAUAGUUCGGUUGCAUACAUGAUUGGCUUUCAAAACAUGCAAGUAGUCUGUUAAUAGAUUGACAAUACUCUGCCAAUGGUCAAACAGUGCUUGACAUAAUGUUGUUGGUGCCUGAAAAAGAAGUGUCAGCAAAACAAAAGCACGAUGUUAUCUUACUUUAUAAAACAUAAUGCAUUACAGUCCAUUAGCCAUGCCUCGAUGCAACACCCAAGCAACGGAGAUAUCUCUUUCACCAAAUUAUCUCUUAUCAUUCCAUAAACCUUCUCAAGGAAACCUCUGAGCUGUCCCUUGAAAACCAGAGCAGGAUUUUUUGCUUCAACUUUCUGAAGAUCAUGAUUGCCUCCAAUCAAGUGGCUACCACCAGAAGCUCGGUUUCUCUAAUUUUUUCAGAAGCACUGAAUUAACAAAUUUAAAACUAUAAAUCUAGAGUACUAAAAGUAAAAGCUGGAGAGAAUAAAGAUGCUUUACCCCGAAUAUUAUAUCAAGCAUUUCAGAAAUUUGAAUUCCUCUCCGAGGAGUGAAUCUACCUUCUCUAGCUGUUUUAAAUGCUUGCUGCAUAAGCAGGAGUAAUGUCGAUGAAUUGGAGAGCCAGUAUGCUGACAUAUCAUUGCCCUGAGCCUGUGGGAAGGAAUAAGUUGACUUAACUACAUCAAAUACCAUAAAUAAUGUUGUUACUGCAUUUAAAUUUUGUACUCCCACAUCAAUACUCUGUUUUCUCAGUGUCUGUUAUGCAGAACGAUAUGAUGAUUCAUAAACAAAUCAUUCUAGGCAAACAAAUUCAAAUGUAUAAUUAUCCAAAGAAGAUGGGUAUCUUGGUUUCAUCUUUUGUCCUUAACCAUUAAUCAUUUUUAUUAUUACUACUGCUGUUGAUACUCCUGCAAUUACAGAGAGGAUUUUGUGUUGCAUUUGUGUGUGCGAGCACUACGAGAAAGUCAUAUAUUAUAAAAAAUAUCAGAAAUAAUCAUACAUUUGGAACAGGUUAGACCAUGUGCGCCCCAAAUUUUUUGAUGCAGAUUAAUGGUUGAGAUUACAGGUUACCUCUUCAGUUAAGAGGGCAAUAUGGUAUUUUAUACGUGGUGGUUUCCUUAAGAGAAUUAGUUGGUGGAUUUGGUUUAAACUUGAAUCAUUUAGGUCCACAAUGCAGAUUACAAUCAGUGGAACUAUAUGCGUAGGAAGCCAAACCAGCAACCAGCCCAUACACAUGUAUAAAAGUACCAGAUUUAAUUGGUUGACCAUGGAUUUUUUUUAGAGCACACCAAUGGUUGAGCAUGGAUCACACUGACGUAAACCCACAGGUUUUUGUGAGUAAUGUAUAAAGAAACAACUUAAUGAAAACUGUAAUCAUAGGUGAUGUUUACCUUUACUAUACCAAACAUGCUCGCUGUCCGGGGGAUGGACCCCGGGCAGGCAACGGAACCCGGAUCCUCUUCAAAAACAACGGGGCUGGCACCGCCCCUCAAUACCGGCACGCGCUUGGCCGGGUCGCUCGACCCGGCCAAGCCCCGCAAGCCGGCCAGACUAGCCGAUCCGGCAAGACACGUCGACUCGGCCUCAACAACUGGCACAAGACAGCCGAACCCGGCACGACCGAAGCCUCCUCAACAAGCCAGCGCCACCCAUGGCGUGCUACGCAAUCCAGCCGCGGGUCAACUCCCGUCCCAUCCAGGCCGUAUGAUGGGGACGAGACUUCAAUCAACGAUGACCGAGGCAAUAGUGCCCCGUCCAUGCCUCAGGUCAGUAGGAACGUGGAAAUAGUGCCCCUCGCCUACCCGCUGACCAGGGCCGGUGUGGCAACAGUGCCCCCACCCUCACCGCUGAUGACAGCAAGCGGCAACCUGACGGAGAGCACUGUACGCGACUCAACUCGGCCACGCCCUGACGAUCGACAAGACGGCGCACAGUCCCCCUAGGCUUGCGGGGCCCGCACCUAGGGGAACCCGGCGAACCACAAGCCCUCAGCGGGACCCAGCCCGGGUCCCCGGACACCGACAACACGGACCCACCGACUUAUAACAUUACCAUUGUACCCCCGGGGGUUGGACAAUAAAAACCCCGAGAGCCCACGAUCAUUCGGGGGGCGAGCAAGAGGACUACCACAAAACAGCAACACCAGAGAGAAGGAGCAGCCCAAGCCUUGGCCACCUUCCUUCCUCCUCCAUACAGCUCCAGGAGCAACAUUGUACUAUCGAUCAUCCAACUAUACUCGGCAGGACUAGGGGUAUUAUCUCUCCGGAGAGCCCCGAACCUGGGUAUGUCCGGCGUCCCGCGCCCGCUCAUGCCAACCUCGCCUCUGGAGUCCACCAGCGCCCUCGAGCCUCCUCCUCUCUUUAGCCAUCCCUUGGCAUCUGCCGUGCGCCCACCACGACAGUUGGCGCCCACCGUGGGGCGACUUGAGGAGCUGGCCGGGAGCAUGUUUCAGACGGGGCCCUUCUCCUACGCCGACGAGUCUGUCGCGCUGGCGGACGACAUCGUCGGCGCGCUUGUCGCCUCCUUCGCCGCGCUGCGCAUCUCCGAUGCGUGCGCGGCCGACGACUACCCAGCGAGGUGCUCAGCUACUCCGACUCUCCCCUCUCCCUCGGCGGCGGCGUUUUCGCCGGGGCAAUGGACGUCCAUGUGGAGGUCUUCGUCACCGGCGAUGGCGCCUCCUCCUCGUCGAGCAAGACGAGGAAGGCUGCCGAAGCCAGGGCCGCAGCGGAUCGGAUCGAGCCGUCUGAUCCGUUGCGCGCCGCGAUGCAGAGCCUCCGCAUCCCCAUCGGCACCGACGUCGAUGCCACCAACGUCGCUGAGGCCCGAACCUAGCUCGAGGAAAGGCGCCAGCAGAUGCUGGACCUAUUUGAGACGCUCGCCACUCAGCGUCGCCUGGACGCCGCUCAGCUGGAGCGCGACGCCGCCUACGGAUUCACGCCCGCCGCGGCCGAGCCAAGCCGGGUCGCUGAUGUGCGUGCCCGGGGAGGAGCGAUCGGCCGGGCCCUCGGUGCUGCCCCAACCGUCUACGAGACCCCAGCGAAGAACAUGCGCGCUGCCCAGGCAGCCGCAGUCGGCCUGGACCAGCUCGCGGGUGAGGAGCUGAAAGAGCGCAUCGGGCGGAUGCGUGAACUCCUCCACGCCGCCAACACCCAGUAGGACCGCCUCAACCAGCUCGCCAAGCCGGCGGGAUCCGGCUCCGCCCGCCUUGGCAGGCCCGGCGAACUUCUGCACACCACUUCCUCGCCACCCGGCGAGGCGCACUCCAGCCGAGCCCGGACUCGGCGCGACCCGGCUGCUACAGCCGCCGACGGAUUGGGCGACGAGCCCAUCCUAGAGAUCCAGCGCGGACCCGGCCAGCAUGGCCGGCGUCCGGCUCCAACCGACCCGGCCCCCCGUGGCCUGGCCGCAAGUCGAUUCGGCCUGCGCGCCAUCGACGACGCCGACGCUCGCCACCGCCUCGAUCAGCUCGCUCGCUCCCUGAAGGUGGAGGAGAGCGGCGCUAUCGGGCCGGCGUGCUUCGGCCCGCGCAUCCGGGAGGAGCCCUUCCCCAAAGGAUUCAUGCUCCCCGCGACACCCCCAAGUACAACGGGACGGUGAAGCCAGAAGACUGGCUCACCGACUACACCACGGCCAUUGGCAUCACCGGUGCCAAUCGUCGUCUCGCCGUGCGCUACGAACCGCUCAUGCUCCAAGGGUCAGCCCGCACGUCGUUGAACAACCUGCCGAUUGGCAGCAUCAACACGUGGGUGGAUUUCGAGGAAGCCUUCGUCCGCAACUUCACGGGGACCUAUAAGCGACCCGGCCGCCCUAGCCAGCUCGCCAUGUGCGUGCAAGGGCCUACGGAGACCGGUUGCGAGUACCUCGCACGCUGGACCGAGCUCCGGAACAGCUGCGAGGGCGUCCACGAAGUCCAGGCGAUCCAGUACUUCGUCAGCGGGUGCCGAGACGGCACCCUCCUCAAGCACAAGCUCUUACGCUCCGAGCCGGCCACCAUGGCCGCGCUCAUGGUGACGGCGGACAAGUACGCCAACGCCGACUCCGUCAUGAAGAUCAAGGUGGCGCUGGAUGAAGCCGGCAAGGCGAAGCCGGUUCCCCCUCCGAAGCCGGCCGGCGAAAGCAGCCGGCAGCAGCAUCACCAGAACAACAAGCGCAAGGCCGACCAGCCGGCGCCUCGUCACGACAACCGGCUCGUCGCGACCACCGAGCCCGCGGCGGACCCGGCGGCGAAACGCCGGCAAGACGGCAUGGCCACCCGCUGUGACGUCCGAAUAAUCAAGCUACAGUAAACCUCUGCUAAAAGUGCCACGUCAACUCGGUUACUGUUGAUAACUGGAGUUGGUUCAAAAACGAUUCAAAUUAAAAUCUAAAAUAUAGGCAAACAAUAAAAGUUUUUCUAAAUUUAAAACAAAAAUGCUCGGGGUGUGCAAAUAAAUGCCUAGGAAUUUAUGGUGUGUGAUCCAUGCUUUUAUAAAAGACCUAAAUACUUAAAAUGAAUUAAAACAGAAAAGAAAUUAAAAGAUAAAAGAAAAACAAAAAAACAAAAGGAUAUAUCCCCAGCUCCCAUGGGCCUCGGCCCAUCCCAACCCAAGUCGGCCACCCCCCCACCAGGCCGGCCCAACCACGCCAGCUACUCCCCCCCCCCACUUCCACAAACCCUAACCGACACCCCCCACUCCCCCACUCGCUCCCCGCACGCCUCUCUCCCCCCUUUCCCCGCCUGGAUCGGGGCAGAGGGCUCCGACCCCUUCGCCACGCCGCCGCCGAGCCUGCGGCCACUACGCCGGAGCCCGCCCNNNNNNNNNNNNNNNNNNNNNNNNNNNNNNNNNNNNNNNNNNNNNNNNNNNNNNNNNNNNNNNNNNNNNNNNNNNNNNNNNNNNNNNNNNNNNNNNNNNNNNNNNNNNNNNNNNNNNNNNNNNNNNNNNNNNNNNNNNNNNNNNNNNNNNNNNNNNNNNNNNNNNNNNNNNNNNNNNNNNNNNNNNNNNNNNNNNNNNNNNNNNNNNNNNNNNNNNNNNNNNNNNNNNNNNNNNNNNNNNNNNNNNNNNNNNNNNNNNNNNNNNNNNNNNNNNNNNNNNNNNNNNNNGCCCUGACGCCACCGCCGCGCGGAGCUCGCCGUCGUCCUCCCCGUCCUCUCCCUCGCCGGAGCCGCCCAUCGUCACCGUCGUCGUCUACCUCGUCCUCCUCCUCGAGCACACUGUCGUUCCCCUACACCGCAAGUGAGGCCCGACCUCUCCUCCUCCCCCCUGUUGCCCGAGCUCGCUGGAGCUCGUAACCCCCACCGCUGCAUGCACUCCCUCGCUCCACCGCGCGCGCCCCGGCGGCCCUGAACGCGCCCACGGUCGCCCCCCUGCUACCCGUCUCCCUCGCUCACCCCGCACGCUGCGAUCCCUGCCCCUGUUUUCCCCUGCUCUGCUCCGCCUCCAGCCGCGACCGAGUCCGCAUGGCCCGCCUCCCCUGCUCCUGUGGACGCCGAGCCUCCCCACCGGCCCCGGCGCGAGCCCUCGCUGUCGUUGCGCCACCGCAACCGCCGUGCGCACGCACACCCGCACUUCGUCGCCCACCGCUGCCUUCCCCCUACCACGUCGCGCUCGUCGCCGUCCCUGGUGUUGGCGCUGUCGUCCCGUGCCCCGCCUCCGCCUCUGGCCCCGCAGGCCACCGCCACGCCGGCGGCUAGUUCUGGCACCCCGCGGCGCCCCGGGUCUGCCCUUCGGGUGCAAACGCCCGGGUGCCCGCUGCCCGUUUCGCCCGCUAGGCCCCCAGGGGCCUAUGACAAAGGGGUCCCGCACCCCAGAACGAUUAAAAAAAAGAAUGAUUUAAAAAAAAUUAAUUAAUAAAAAUUAAUAAAUAAAUAAAUAAAUAAAUAAAGAAAAUAAAAAUAAGAAUAAGAAUAAUUAAUUAAUUAGUAAAUUAAUUAGUUAACUAACCCUGUUUAGAUUAAUCUAAUUUAAUUAAUUAGUUUAAUUAAUAGUUAAUUAAUUAGUUAACCCUAAUUACCCUAAUCAGUCUAUGACAUGUGGGACCCACGUGUCAGAUGACUGCUGACGUCAGCAUGAUGUCAUGCUGAUGUCAUCACAACACUGUUUCGGAUAAUGUAUAUAUUAAAUAAUUAAAUAAAUUCCAGAAAUUAAUUUAAAUCUUUUAAAAUUCAUAUAAAAUAAACCGUAGCUCGGAUGAAAAUACUUUGUACAUGAAAGUUGCUCAGAACGACGAGACGAAUCCAGAUACGCAGCCCGUUCGUCCGCCACGCGUCCCUAGCAUAGUGAACCUGUAACAUUUCACCUCCGGUUCAUCUGUCCGAAAACGCGAAACACCGGGAAUACUUUCCCGGAUGUUCCCCCCCUUCGCCGGUACCACCUACUGCCGCGUUAGGGCACACCUAGCACCGCUCGUUGUCAUGUCACGCAUCGUCAUGCUUAUGUUUGCAUUGUAUUUACUGUUUCUUCCCCCCUCUUCUCUCCGGUAGACUACGAGACCGACGCUGCUGCUGCCCAGUUCGACUACGGAGUUGACGACCCCUCCUACUUGCCAGAGCAACCAGGCAAGCCCCCCCCUUGAUCACCAGAUAUCGCCUAUUCUUCUCUAUACUGCUUGCAUUAGAGUAGUGUAGCAUGUUACUGCUUCCCGUUAAUCCUAUCCUGAUGCAUAGCAUGUCAUUGUUGCUACAGUUGUUACCCUUACCUGCUAUCCUACUGCUUAGAAUAGGAUGCUAGUGUUCCAUCAGUGGCCCUACACUCUUGUCCGUCUGCCAUGCUAUACUACUGGGCCGUGAUCACUUCGGGAGGUGAUCACGGGUAUAUACUAUAUACAUUAUAUACAUGACACAUGUGGUAACUAAAGUCGGGUCGGCUCGAGGAGUACCCGCAAGUGAUUCUGAUGAGGGGGCUGAAAGGACAGGUGGCUCCAUCCCGGUAGAGGUGGGCCUGGGUUCCUGACGGCCCCCGACUGUUACUUUAUGGCGGAGCGACAGGGCAAGUUGAGACCACCUAGGAGAGGGGUGGGCCUGGCCCUGGUCGGUGUUCGCGGAUACUUAACACGCUUAACGAGAUCUUGGUAUUUGAUCUGAGUCUGGCCAUUUGGUCUAUACGCACUAACCAUCUACGCGGGAGUAGUUAUGGGUAUCCCGGCGUCGUGGUAUCAGCCGAAGCCUUCGUGACGUCAGCGACUGAGUGGCGCGCGUCGUGUUGGACCGCUUUGAUGUAACCGCCGUGAUCGUGUGGGUUGCUAGGUCUGCUCGCGGCCGCGUUCGCAACGUGCAGGUGUGCAUAGGGCGAUGGGCCCAGACCCCUGCGCGCUUAGGAUUAGACCGGCGUGCUGACCGCUCUGUUGUGCUUAGGUAGGGCUGCGACGCGUUGAUCUUACGAGGCCGGGCAUGACCCAGAAAAGUGUGUCCGGCCAAAUGGGAUCGAGCGUGUUGGGUUAUGUGGUGCACCCCUGCAGGGAAGUUUAUCUAUUCGAAUAGCCGUGUCCCUCGGUAAAAGGACGACCCGGAGUUGUACCUUGACCUUAUGACAACUAGAACCGGAUACUGAAUAAAAUACACCCUUCCAAGUGCCAGAUACAACCCGGUGAUCGCUCUCUAACAGGGCGACGAGGAGGGGAUCGCCGGGUAGGAUUAUGCUAUGCGAUGCUACUUGGAGGACUUCAAUCUACUCUCUUCUACAUGCUGCAAGAUGGAGAUGGCCAGAAGCGUAGUCUUCGACAGGACUAGCUAUCCCCCUUUUAUUCUGGCAUUCUGCAGUUCAGUCCACUGAUAUGCCCCUUUACACAUAUACCCAUGCAUAUGUAGUGUAGCUCCUUGCUUGCGAGUACUUUGGAUGAGUACUCACGGUUUCCUUUCUCCCUCUUUUUCCCCCUUUCCUUCUAUCUGGUUGUCGCAACCAGAUGCUGGAGUCCAGGAGCCAGACGCCACCGUCGACGAUGACUCCUACGACACUGGAGGUGCCUACUACUACGUGCAGGCCGCUGACGACGACCAGGAGUAGUUAGGAGGAUCCCAGGCAGGAGGCCUGCGCCUCGUUCGAUCUGUAUCCCAGUUUGUGCUAGCCUUCUUAAGGCAAACUUGUUUAACUUAUGUCUGUACUCAGAUAUUGUUGCUUCCGCUGACUCGUCUGUGAUCGAGCACUUGUAUUCGAGCCCUCGAGGCCCCUGGCUUGUAUUAUGAUGCUUGUAUGACUUAUUUAUGUUGUAGAGUUGUGUUGUGAUAUCUUCCCGUGAGUCCCUGAUCUUGAUCGUACACAUUUGCGUGCAUGAUUACUGUACAGUCAAAUCUGGGGCGUCACAAGUUGGUAUCAGAGCCAACUGCCUGUAGGAAUCCCCCUUUCCACACUCCUUGGCCGAAGUCGAGUCUAGACAUUACAAAAACUUUUACUAACAUGGUUGUGUGUCUUACGGGCCCACGUCGCCAUUGGGUGGUACUAGGAUCUUUUACUCUUCGACCUUUACUCUGGGACUCUGAACUCUCUUCUAUUCGGGUUAAGUGAAUUUUGCUAAAUCUAACAUUAGGAUCUCGUUAUCACUUUCACCCGGAGAGCCCCUUAUUACUGAUGACCGUCUGUUGCACGUGAAGACCCUGAAGAUACUCUCCGCUGAUAACCCGAGAACUUGUGUUCAUCGCUUUUGCAAUUCCCUUUCAUCGAUAAACUCCUAUGGAUAACCACGUAUACUCGCCAUUCAUACAAUGUUUCCCAGAUGAUCUUGUUAUUACAAGAUACCCCGAAAUUCUCUCUGUUGUUCCGAGAAUCCUUUGAGCUUACUACCUUGCUGUUCAUUGUCACCUGAAUACCCCUACGGAUAAUCCUCGCACUUGCCGAGUAUCCGCUCAUCCCCAGUGGAUUCAAGUAUAUCACAAAAGUGUUCAGAAUACCAUUCGAUCUUCCAAAAAUCCUCAGGAGCCUAUUGCUCUUGAAAUUCUUGCUUACUAGCAUUAUGAUUAAUCCCAUAAGUCUCGAAAUCUUAUUGGCACCCCUUGUCAUUAUCUUUUUGAGUCCAUUGAUUCAAUAUGUUGCGAAUGCUCGCAAUCCUCAAUCAGAUCCUAGAAUUCAUCCUUCCGGCUCAGACAUCAUUUUUAACAUGAGCUGGAUCUCGACCUAUCAAAUUGCCAUCGAUUGUACCCCUAAGCCUACUCAACUUAUCCAUCCUUGAUCAGAGCGUUGCUUCUGACCCCCUGAUAUGGAAAUCAUAAUUCUUUUGCAUUGAACUUUGAGUUAGUCAGUUGUUUCUAUAAUCAGAUCUCCUUGCAUUCUUCUUCCUCUGGUUGAGUACCGAUGCUCACAUCAGAUCCCUUGUGGACCAUCGGUUCCUUUGUUGGAUUUUAUCCGACAGUGUCCUUCAUAUUGAAUAACCUUGUGAGCCUUUCCAUGGGUAUAUAAUGCAUUUGGUAAAUUGUAUCAUCUGUUUUUGAACAAUGCUCUUCUUUCGAGCUUGUAAUAUUUACUCCGAAGUUUGUGGUAUAUGUUCCUAAGAUGCCUUGAUGGGUUGAACCUAUACCUUUCAUAAUAUGUGUGAACUCGAAAGUUUUCAUGAGUCAUACUCUUCUGGUAUUUUGCCAGAUAAAAUUUCAACACUACAACUUCUUUGAAAAAUGAGAAGUGAAUGAAAGGUUAUGCAUUGGAGAAGUGGGAGUCGACCUUGAACUUUGCGUUCAUGCCCAUGGACACGAUGUAGAUCUUAUCAUUAAAGCUUUUCUCAAAUUAAUUAUUCCCUUGGUAUAAGUUCAUCUUAUAUCUGAGAUCUGACAUUUUGCAAUCGUGGUUCCAACCAUGUUCUCUUUUAAAUACCAUUUCUCGUGCAAGUUUAAGCACUUGUCUUCUGCAGAGCAAUACCCCAGUCCAACCUCUACUUUGGUUUGUCGUCGAGUAUUACCCCCCUGGUAUCUCGAGAUUAUCACGGAACUGCAUAACUUAUUAUGAGUUCUCCAUCAAGUAUUACAUUCUCAUUGAUUCCAAUUUUUCACAGGCUCGGAGUUAUUAAACACUCAAGGACAUCGAUAAUUGAAUCGAGUCCGCACUACGGUUCAACAACUUUUAGUAAUGUUCCUUACUUACGAGUUUGUACCCGAUCGCGUCAUUCCUAGCCUGUUUGGCUAUAUCAUUAUCUUGAUGAUUUUAACUGUGCUACCUGGUCCUUAUUCCCGGAGCACCACUUUCGACGAUGAGCUGAGCUUACGUCGAUUUUCCUCGUCAUAUCGUUUCACCUCGAACAACAAACUUGCCCCGAGUUUGUGUAGUAUCCGUGGCUCCAAUAAUCUUUUGUUGCAUCAGUCCUUUUGCUUGAUGCAGUCGCUGAUCAAUUGCUUCUUCGUGGAUCCCCUCGACAACAAAAUGUCGUGAUCACCAUCAACAUUUUGAGCUCUUCCAGGAUAUCAGUCGAAAUUCAGGAUGAGAAAUACCAUCCUUGCCCCUCGAUGAUUUGUGUUAUCAUCGGCAACGUUAUUGCCCCCCCUCCAAGUCAGACUUGAUCAUGUUAUGGAGCUCUUUACUAUCUAGCUGAUGUUAUGUUCUACAUUGAAGUAUUACUGUCCUUCAUGUCAAGGAUGUUGUGAGGAUUGCCCCACCUCUUAAGAAUUCCUGAUAUAGUAAUACUUCUCGUCAUCUACAUUCAUUUCUAGGUUCACGUGUUGAUUCUAACCGGGAUACCAACAGGUGAACUGUGUUGUUUGGAUUCUGCCCUUCUAGCAACCUUAUUCCUUUGAAGUUAAUGGUCGGCCGUUCAUUCUUAGACUAUUGAUUAUGGAAUCACCAUUCCGACGUUGGUCGUGCAACCCAUCCCAUAUUUCGGGUGCACCUUUCAACCAAUGUUUAAUUGGGUAUGUUCUCCUCGAGCAUACCUCAUUAUAUCAUUCGAUCUAGCAAAUGUUAUCUCCUUGGUCACUUAGUUGUGGAAAUCCAUCUUUUGGAAAUCUCAAUGGGUUGUCGCUGAGACAAUCAGCCACCUCCUCAUCCUCUCGUUGGUAUACUGAUGGACUCUUGUUUCGGAACUCGCUUCCAUAGUUCGUUUCCCGAGAAUCUUACAAUGUCAUCUCGUCAAUUGGUGUUGCACCUUUUUCUUCUUAGGCAUCCUAAGUCUGAGGAAUCGUGACACCAAUCAGAUCUGAAUCUCGGUCAGAUAUGAUGGUUGGAACAUAUUUCCAAGAGUUAUAACAUUGGUCUCUACAUAACUCGAUAAGGUGGUGUCUUUGCUUAGCACCCCUAGCCAGAGGACCUUUUGUUAUAAUUUCCUUUUUAGCAAGGUUAACCAUUCUCCCAUGAGGAAAUUGUAAGACUUAUUCUACAAGUUAUUCCUGAUGGAUCCUUCCUGUAUCCAAAGUCUGACCUUUGCUUGAAUACAUUGCCAAUGCUAUCUCAAAGCAUGUCACUGGUACUCCAAUUUUCAAUAAGAACAUUUGAAGCACAAUGCUAAAUUUUCUUUAUCAAUUAUCCAUACACCGUUGUAUGGGUAAUGGCAUAAAAUUUCUCUCCUCUUUCCUAAAGGGUUUUCUACGUUAUAUCCCGACAUGGAUAUCAUGCUCUGCUUACCCUUGGGAAGAAUAUACCCUUGAAAUAUGUGUUUAAACACACUUUCCUUUCCAUUGUUCUGUUUAAUCUGAUAAUGAUAUUUUCCUUUCCAUUCUUUUGUUUAACCCUUCUUGAGUUCUAUAUGAUCUAAGCAGUAAUAUUCUCCUGCUUAUGUAAACACCUCGGUGUACCAUUCUGUCAGCAAGACCCUGUUACUAUUGUUGAUGACAUCCCGGUAGCCACCGAUGGACGAGAACUUUGCCUAAUGGUCCGCCUCGUUUCAACGAGCAGGAAAAUGGUUCUCUUCGUCCCUCGCCCUUGGUACCAACGUGUUGCCGACAUAACUCACAGGGUAUUCUCUGACAUGCCUUGCUAUCAUGACCGUGCAAGAUGUCACUGCUCCUAUAAAAAAACCACAUGGUGGGCCCAUAACCCACAGUUCCACAGGAUCGAAACCUGACUCUCCUAUACACCCUGUUGUCGAAGUUAUUCCUCGAGCUUGACUUCGUAUGUGAUUCACGGGCCACCUGCCUAGUGAUCUAUUCUGGUACCAGACAUAAUACUUAUUCCGAUUGCUUUGAACCCCCUUUCACACUUUGUUUCAGGCUUCGAACGAUUGCCUACCCGUUUGAAACUUCUCAUGUUACUUUCUUACUUUCUCUCGACUUUUUCUUAAGAUUUAGUUCGAGAGUUACUUUCCGCCACCUUCCCCGAUAAUAUUGACCAGAUAGUCAACCUUGCAGAGGUCCGUUCUCCUAGAAUACCCCCUUAUUCUUUCAUACGUACGAUGGAGUUCCCGAAGAAAGGACGACAACUUCAUCAUGAUGACCUGAAAUAGCAGAAUGAAGACAUCAACGUAAUGGAUCAACCUCUUCGAGAAGAGCAACCAAGACCAAGAACACUCCGUAGAAUUUCGUAACCCGAACCUUUCCCCUUUACUUCCCUCUUAAAUCUUGGGACGAGAUUUCUUGUAGUGGAGGAGAAUUGUGACGUCCGGAUAAUCAAGCUACAGUACACCUCUGCUAAAAGUGCCACGUCAACUCGGUUACUGUUGAUAACUGGAGUUAGAUCAAAAACGAUUCAAAUUAAAAUCUAAAAUAUAGGCAAACAAUAAAAGUUUUUCUAAAUUUAAAACAAAAAUGUUCGGGGUGUGCAAAUAAAUGCCUAGGAAUUUAUGGUGUGGGAUCCAUGCUUUUAUAAAAGACCUAAAUACUUAAAAUGAAUUAAAACAGAAAAGAAAUUAAAAGAUAAAAGAAAAACAAAAAAUCAAAAGGAUAUAUCCCCAGCUCCCAUGGGCCUCGGCCCAUCCCAACCCAAGUCGGCCACCCCCCCACCAGGCCGGCCCAACCACGCCANNNNNNNNNNNNNNNNNNNNNNNNNNNNNNNNNNNNNNNNNNNNNNNNNNNNNNNNNNNNNNNNNNNNNNNNNNNNNNNNNNNNNNNNNNNNNNNNNNNNNNNNNNNNNNNNNNNNNNNNNNNNNNNNNNNNNNNNNNNNNNNNNNNNNNNNNNNNNNNNNNNNNNNNNNNNNNNNNNNNNNNNNNNNNNNNNNNNNNNNNNNNNNNNNNNNNNNNNNNNNNNNNNNNNNNNNNNNNNNNNNNNNNNNNNNNNNNNNNNNNNNNNNNNNNNNNNNNNNNNNNNNNNNNNNNNUGUUGAGGAUAUAGACCUUAGAGUCACCCGCCAGGAGGGGCCGGGUUACUCAUAUGGUCAUUACCAGAAGCCCGGCGCCAAUCUUGAAGACGGUGGGCCAAAGAUGGGCUUAAGACCCGGAUAUGGCUUAAGGCCCGUAGUUACAAUCAUUAUUAUGGUAGAACUUGUAGUGUAAGGCAAGAAUAGUUGAGAGUCCGAGCCGGACACUCUUAUGAGCCGGCCGGGACUCCGAGCGCUGCUGGGCGUCAGCCUCCCUAUAUAAAGGGACGACCCGGCAGCGGUUUAGGGACGACAACAAUCUGAUCGAGAGCCGGGCAUAGCAGUUUAGCUUCCUGGCGAUCGUAACCCUAAUCAAUACCACCUCAAACUGGACAUAGGCUUUUACCUUCACCGUAAGGGGCCGAACCAGUAUAAACCCUCGUGUUCCUUGUCCCGCAUAACCUCUUCAAGCUUCCUAGCUGCGAUGGCUCCACGACUAAGUCCUAGUUCGAGGACAUCUGCCGUGACAAUUCCACGACAGUUGGCGCCCACCGUGGGGCUUGAACCCACGACCACAAGGUUAAGAGCCACAUCGACGAUGCAAACUGGGGCCCCGACGCCGGCUCAAUUGAGUACGGGUACCGGGUCCCCUUCGGCGGAAUUCAUGUUUUCAUUGGCAAGAUUGGUGAGCCGGGCCCUGAGCCGGAUCUCUGCGCCGAUCUCAUCGAGACGGCUCAGCGUGCAUGACCCGCCCGGGCCCGGCCUGCCUUAAGGCGCGCGUUUGUGGGAUGUAUCCAUGGAGGGGCCUCUGAUCUAUCUGGGUCUGGUGAUGAGGCGGCCGCCGGCUCUGACGGCGAGUCGGCCACCGAUGAGUCAAACUCGUUGUAUCAACUUCAAGAUGGCAUGCUCAUGGGUUGUUCCGAUGGUGACAGUAUUCCGGACCCGUUUGAGCCGUCAAGUCAGGUUGGAGUCUUUAUGGCUGGCGCGCAGCCUGUUCAGAACCCCGCUGCUGGAGCGGGAAACCCGGUGCCUUCUCCGGCUCAGGUGCUGAUGGAUCUCACGGACAAGAUGACGGCCCUGUUAACCGCCACGGUUGACCCGGUGGAUCAAGCUCAGGAUGAUGCGGAGGUGGCACAGUUAAAAUUGGAUCUAGUGAAAGCUAAGGAGGAGCUUGCAACGGAAGGAAUCAGGAUGGCUGCAGAGAGGGCGGCUCUCGAUGCCCAAACUCAGCUGAUCCAGGCGCAGUCCUUCCAACUCACGAUGGACCAGAACGCGUCCAAUGAGGUCAUGAGAAGGAGGCAUCAAAAGACCCAAUCUCGACUCCCUCCGGUUUAUGAUCCACGCAACCUCUUUAACACGCCAGGUGCAGGGUCUAGUAACCCGCCAGGGGUCAUAGUGCCCGGGUCUGGAGCCCCUAUUCAGCCACGGGUGAUGGGGCCUCCCCAGGUGCCCCCUGCCCCACCUCAGCACGUGCCAAUACCCCCGGGUCAUUAUAAUAACCCGCUGGAGAACAUGGUCGCUGCGGCAGCACGGCUGGCGGCUCUCCCAGUUGACGGUGACUCUCCGACGGCUAUCGAAACCCGCCGGGUCAGGGAACUCCUUCAGACAGCACUGGCGCAGCAAGAGGCGUACUCCUACAGCCGGGACAGGAUCCACUCGACCCCUCGUCCAGGCCAGAGCCCGAGUUACAGCUGGCACAUGGUCUCAGCGACCGGCUCAAGUAACGUCCGACGCCAUGACCCGCCCCCUGGCCACGGCCCGGCUCAUAAUGGAGCCUUUCACGCAGCAGACCAGGUCAGAGCGCGGCAAGAGGCGGAGCAAGUGCCUCAAUUGACGGCUUACCAGACCCCCCCCCCCAGCUUAUCCGACGACUUCCGUCGACGUGGGUAUCCCUACCAGGACCGGGGGUGUCCCUUGUUUAGUGCCAGCUAUCCGUAAUGAACGUCUACCUAAGGACUUCAAGGGCCCUAGGAAGGUGCCUAAUUAUACAGCUGACUUACAACCCGCAGCCUGGAUCAAGAGUUACGAGAUGGCCAUGGAACUGCUGGAGGUCAGUGAGGCGGCAAUGGCUAAGUAUUUCACCAUGAUGUUAGAUGGGACUGCCCGCACUUGGUUGAAAGGGCUGCUGCCGAAUUCCAUUGGGUCUUGGGCUGAGCUGAAGACCCGCUUCAUCCAAAACUUCAAAGAUACCUGUAGGCAGUCUAUGUCAAUUGUGGAUUUGACUAACUGUAAGCAGCAGGAGGGUGAGUCUACGACGCAUUGGGUUCGCCGGGUUAAGGAGAUCAUACACUCGUCAGACAAGAUGGAUGCCGGCUCAGCAGUUUUAAUGCUGGAGCAGAAUUGUCGUUUUGUGCCCCUGAAGAUGAAACUCGGGCGGCUUAAGCGCGACUGCAGUGAUAUGGGUACACUAAUGGCGGCUCUUGUCAAGUACGCCGAUUCUGAUGGUACCAAGGAUCCCCCUUCAGAUGAUGAAAGGACAGGGAAGGGAAAGAAGAAUGGCAAUGGCAAGGGUCCUCAGCAUAACCCGGGGAACCAAGGAGGAGGCAAGCGCAAGGCAGAUGGCAGCCUAGAGUUUGUAGCCAAUGCCAACUCACAAGGGAAUAACCAGCGACGUAAGGGGAGACCUCCUCCCCGAGGCGGCGGGUCAGGCCCGACGCUGGAGCAGCCGUUGAAUGAGCCUUGUCCAAGGCACGGCUCUAGAGAGAAGCCAGCGACUCAUCUAUGGAAGGACUGUGCAAUCAUGAAGGCCUUUAAGAAUUACAAUGGCCCGGGCGGCGGCUCAGGCGCCGGCGGUUUUCAUGGCCCGGGCGGCGGCUCAAAUUCUAAUCCUCAGAACGGUCAAGGGGGCUUCAAUCAACAGUCUGGCCAGGGUCAUCAACAGCAGCAGGGGGGUUAUCAGACCAAUCCAAAGCAGCUUAGCGGUGGACAGUACCAUGUGUUUACCACCAGCCUGUGUAAGCGAGAUCAGAAGCUUCAUAAGAGGGUUGUGAAUGCUGUAGAGCCGGCGGUUCCACGCUACUUGCGGUGGUCUGAGCAGCCUAUAGUGUGGAGUAGGGAGGAUCACCCUCCCCGGGUGGAUAACCCGGGCCACUUGGCCCUAGUGGUGGCUCCUCAAGUGGGAGGAUAUAAGUUCACUAAGGUACUCAUGGAUGGAGGCAGCAGCAUCAACAUCCUCUAUUAUGAGACGUUUCGUCGUAUGGGGUUGAUUGAUAAGAACCUCAGCCAGUCCAACACUAUUUUCCACGGUGUGGUACCUGGUAAGUCGGCUUAUCCAGUCGGCAAGAUCGAAUUGGAAGUGGCAUUUGGAGAUGAGAACAACUACAGGGUGGAGAAAUUGACCUUUGAGGUGGUUAAGAUAAGAAGCCCGUACCAUGCUAUAUUUGGGCGGCCGGCUUACGCCAAGUUCAUGGCUCGGCCGUGUUAUGUGUACUUACAGCUCAAGAUGCCGGGUCACAACGGGACCAUUACGGUUCACGGCAGCCGGAAAGUGGCCCUGGAGUGUGAGGAAGGCGAUGCAGCUUAUGCAGAAUCUGUUUGUGCAACAGAGGAGUUGAAGUUUUACAAGGACAAUGUUGACCCAACUGAUAUGACCUCUCUGAAAAAUCCGACUACGGAGCAUGAGCCGACAAUGAAAUUUAAGUCAGCUGAUGAGACUAAACUUGUUGAUUUUGUUCCAGGAGACUCAUCUCAGCAAUUUAGCAUCAGUGCCAAUCUGGAUCCAAAAUAGGAAGGCGCGCUCAUCGAGUUCAUCCGUGAGAAUAGGGACAUCUUUGCAUGGAAACCUUCUGACAUGCCAGGUGUACCUAGAGAGCUCGCUGAGCACACUCUCAAUGUUGAUCCGAAAUUUAAGCCGGUCAGGCAGUUCCUUCGGCGGUUCAAUGAGGAGAGGCGGAAAGCUAUUGGUGAAGAGGUGGCCCGGCUCUUGGCGGCCGGGUUUAUUGUUGAAGUCUUUCACCCAGAGUGGUUGGCUAACCCGGUGCUCGUACUCAGGAAGAACGGCACUUGGCAGAUGUGUGUGGAUUAUACGGACUUAAACAAGGCGUGUCCGGCUGAUCCUUUUGCCCUCCCCCGUAUUGAUCAAAUCAUUGAUGCUACGGCAGGUUGUGCGCGCUUAAGUUUCUUGGAUGCUUAUUCCGGAUAUCAUCAGAUUAAGAUGGCAGUUAAGGACCAGGAGAAGAUGGCAUUCAUCACUCCCUUUGGAGCCUUCUGCUAUGUGUCUAUGCCCUUUGGACUUAAGUGUGCUCAGGCGACUUACCAGCGUUGCGUACAGAACUGUCUUCAUAAACAGAUUGGGCGCAAUGUUCACGCUUAUGUGGACGAUAUUGUGGUUAAGUCCAUAAAAGAGGAAACCCUGAUAGAUGAUUUAAGGGAAACCUUUGAUAAUCUCCGGGUCUAUAAGAUGAUGCUUAACCCGGCCAAGUGUGUCUUUGGUGUCCCUGCAGGCAAGCUCUUGGGUUUUUUGGUUUCUGACAGAGGCAUUGAGGCUAACCCGGAGAAGAUCAAGGCCAUCACCUCCCUGGCUAAGCCGGCGUGUAUAAAUGACGUUCAGCGUUUGGCGGGUCGCAUCGCUGCUUUAAGCCGGUUUAUAAGCCGUUUGGGUGAGAAGGCCAAGCCAUUAUAUCAGUUGAUGAAGAAAACUGAUAACUUUGUCUGGAAUGAUGCAGCUAAUACUGCCUUUGAGGAUUUGAAGAAGCAGCUGGCAGAGCCUCCAGUCCUUGCUGCUCCGGUUGAUAAGGAGCCCUUAUUAUUAUAUGUGGCGGCGAACACACGAGCCGUCAGUGUGGCUAUGGUGGUGGAGCGCAAGGAGGAGGGUAAGGAGCAUCCGGUUCAGCGGCCGGUUUAUUAUGUCAGCGAAGUGCUCAUUGAGUCCAAGCAGCGGUAUCCGCAUUGGCAGAAGCUUGUUUAUGGUGUGUUCAUGGCGAGCCGGAAACUUAAGCAUUAUUUUCAGGGUCAUCCCAUCACUGUGGUCAGUUCUGCCCCUCUUGGUGAUAUCAUUUAAAACAGAGAGGCCACAGGGAGAGUAGCUAAGUGGGCUAUAGAGCUUGGACCUCAUGGUCUCAAGUACGUGCCACGCACUGCUGUUAAAUCUCAGGCCUUGGUGGAUUUCAUCAAUGACUGGACAGAGUCACAAGUGCCCGAGCAGAAGCCGGAUAACACAUAUUGGACUAUCCACUUUGAUGGGUCCAGGCAGUUGGAGGGCUCGGGGGCUGGAGUCGUGUUGGCUUCCCCUAAAGGUGACAAGUUCCAUUAUGUGCUACAGUUGUUGUUUCCUUGCACUAACAACGCGGCUGAGUACGAGGCCUUGCUCCAUGGUCUUCGGAUGGCUAAAGAGAUGAGCUUAAGCCGGGUAAGGUGCUUUGGCGACUCAAACUUGGUGGCUCAACAAGUAUCAGGAAAGUGGGAUUCCAAGGACCCUCUCAUGGCGGCUUAUCGCCGCGAGGUUGAUGCUAUUGCUGGUCACUUUCAGGGUUAUCAAGUGGAACACAUCGAUCUCAGGAAGAACGAGGCGACGGAUGCUUUAAGCCGGCUGGGCUCUCAGCGAAAGCCGGUGCCGCCCAACACUUUCCUGGACGUCCUGUAUAGCCCUUCUGUUAAGUUGCCCACAGAGGAAGACUUGGCUGUCCCUGACCCGGAGGCACGACUGGUGGCGGCUCUCCAUAUCAUACCAGACUGGACAAUGCCAUAUCUGGCUUACAUGACCCGGGGCGAGUUGCCUGAGGAUGAAACUUUGGCCAGGCAAAUAACCCGGCGGGCUAAGUCAAUGAUUGUUAUCAAUGGGGAGUUGCAUCACCGCAGUGUUACGGGGGCGUUUCAGCGUUGUGUUUCCCCUAAGGAAGGUCAAGAGAUCUUGCGUGAGAUCCAUGAAGGGGAUUGUGGCCAUCACGUCGGCUCAAAGUCUCUUGUGGCCAAGGCUUUUCGCCAUGGUUUUUAUUGGCUGACGGCUCAUGCCGAUGCGGAGGACUUGGUCAGUAAAUGUGAUGGUUGCCAGAGGUUCUCACGACGGGCUCAUGUGCCGGCUCAGGAGCUGAGGAUGAUCCCAAUCACUUGGCCCUUUGCGGUCUGGGGGCUUGAUAUGGUUGGGCCUUUUAAAAGGUCCAAGGAUAAAAAGACCCACCUCUUGGUGGCAGUUGACAAAUUCACAAAGUGGGUGGAAGCUGAGCCAGUUAGCAAAUGCGAUGCAGCCACGGCGGUUCAAUUUAUGAAAAAGGUGAUUUUCCGCUUUGGCUUUCCGCACAGCAUUAUAAUUGACAAUGGCACCAAUCUCUCCAAAGGCGCCAUGGAAGAGUUUUGUCAACGAGAGCAUAUCCGACUUGAUGUUUCCUCAGUGGCUCAUCCUCAAUCCAAUGGUAGAGCUGAGAGAGCUAAUCAGGAGAUUCUGAAGGGUAUCAAGCCCCGGCUUUUGGUCCCUUUGCAACGGACGCCGGGUUGUUGGGUAGAGGAGUUGCCCUCCAUGUUAUGGAGCAUCAACACUACUCCUAACAGGUCUACAGGUUUUACGCCUUUCUUCAUGGUUUAUGGAGCAGAAGCAGUCCUCCCUAGUGAUAUCCGUCAUGACUCACCUCGCGUGGCGGCUUACGUUGAGGCGGAUAAUGAACAGGCGCGCCAAGAUGCUCUUGACUUGUUGGACGAACAGCGUGAUGUGGCAGCAGCCCGUUCAGCGAUUUACCAACAAGACCUGCGCCGUUAUCAUAGCCGCCGGGUUAAAUCCCGGGUCUUCCAGGAAGGCGAUCUCGUGCUCUGGCUCAUCCAGGAUCAAACAGAUGCACACAAGUUAUCCCUGCCUUGGGAAGGGCCCUUUGUGGUCAGCAAGAACUUGCACAACGGGUCAUAUUACCUCAUUGACAUUCAGGAGCACAAAGAUUCACGUAAGUCGGAGGAAGAGACCCGUCGGCCGUGGAACAUAGCUCAGCUUCGGCCUUACUACACUUGAGCCACCGGCUCUCGUGGUGUACAUAUUUCUCUCAGCCAUGUAUAUAUUAUGAUAAGCAAUAAAGCAGGACCUCUGUCCUUUUUUCUCCUCCAAAUAUGCACGUGUUGUUUUCAUUGCAAGAUUACAUGAUGAUUUUAAGGAGGAUCCGGCUUAUGAUUGUAUUCGAAUUUAGCUGUAAGCAAUAAGGUCACUUGGGGGCUUCCUGUUCAAACAUGGGUCGUAUUCGAACCAAAGAGAACAUAGCUGUCGAUACCCAUUUGAUUGGCAAAGUGCCGAGCUCAUUGGGAGGUUACCUUUGGUCAUAUUUGAAUCAUAGUUUAACCCCUCUGAGAACCGACGUGGAUCGUAUUCGAAUCAGCGUCAUUAAACAAUUCUUAAAAUCACUUGGGGGCUUCCUGUUCAAACAUGGGUCGUAUUCGAACCAAAGAGAACAUAGCUGUCGGUACCCUCUUGAUUGGCAUCGCCACACCCACUGGGGGCUAUAUGAUCAUAUACGAAUCUUAGCAUAACCCCUUUGGGCCGGGUCUCUGGUCGUAUUCGAACCGGAAGCCCCUAAGUUCCUCUGCUUUAUGGCAAGUUCCGUCUGAUUAUUUCAAAGUGUGUACGGCCGGGUCUCACUUUGCCGGCUUAACUUUGGUUUACAGUGUUAGUUGAACACAAUGGGUGUCAUUAAGACAAGUAAAUCGGAAUUAAGGUACCAACCUUAUUACCUGGGUUAUCUAAACCGGAGGUAUGCUUGCAGGUCGCUAAGUGUGUUAUUACGGCUGUGUUAAGGAUAUAAUUGAGGACCAGUCUUUUUUGAUUCAUAUUCCGGGUUAUAUAUCUAAAACAUAUGAUUCUCAGGGCGGUAAGCCGCCUGGAGACUUGUGAUUCGUCUUUCUAUGCAGGAUAGUUAAAGGCAAUUAUUUGAGACUAAGGGGAAAGAAUGACCCGGAGAAAUAUAAAGGAGAUAACUUCGAUAAAACUUCAAGCAUUCAAGGCGUGCACGAUGACACGACAAAAAUAAAGUGUUGGUCCUACUCUAUUACAAGACUCGUUGAGUCCAAAAAGGGUGAGGCAUUGUUUGGUAAACCGCCAGCCGAGUUAUGACGCUUGUUGAGUUGAAGUCUCCGGCUCGUUCCUAUCCUCUCCUCCGGCUGAUCCCAAGACCUGGAAAGUUGAUGACUUCCAGUCGAUGCCGUUGAGAGCUUCGAAUUGGGCUUCCUCGUCAAUUAACCCGGCCGGGUCAAUCUCCGGGGCGAAAGUGUGCUGACGAGCCGGCGGGAUCAGGUUGAGAGCUUCAUAGCGAGGGGUCGGGAUCCUCUGAUUCUCCGCAUUGUAACCCGGCUCGUACUAGGUCAGAUCUGUAUCGUUGCCGAUAAGAGUAGCCACCGGGCGUACGGCCUUCACGCAAGCUGCGAAGUCCUUCUGAUCGAAAGCGGAGCCGUCUUCCUUCAGGCUUGGAUAGCCAAGGGCGAUGUCUGCCGGGUCUAACUCCGGCAGGAAUGCCUUGGCCCGGCUCAGCGCGGAAAUAGCUCCGGCUCUUGCAGAGGCCCGUCGCAGCUCUUGAAUCCGUUGAGGCAGUACAGCGAGCCGGUGAUGGACUUCUGCCAAGUGAGUCGGCACCUCGUUGGAUAAGGCCACCACAGCUAAGGCACGCUGUGACCCGGUGUAGAGCUGCUCCACCAGGGUAUACACGGCCUUCAGCUUGGUGACCACGCUCUGGUUGAGGUUGGCACUUCUGAGACCUGUUUAACAGAAUCAGAUAAGCCGGCGACAAGGAUGAAUUAUGAGAUAUAAACAUUCAAAACUUGAUGAAAGCCGGUGAGGCGACUUACCGAAGAUGGCGGCCACCAUCUGGGAAACCUGGCGCUUUAGGCCGGAGAGCUCGGCGGUCUUCUCGGAGAGAGUCUUCUCCGCCUGUUCAGCCCGGGUCACCAAUGCGGCCUUUUCUUCGGCCCAUGCCUUCCGCUCAGCGUCGAAUUCUGUCUUUAGCUUCUCUUGCGCGGCGAUGCUGGACACGAACUUGGCGUUUGCCUUCCGGGUCUCCAUCUCUUGCAUCUUCAGCCGGCUUUUGACAUCAGCAAGGUCAGCCUCAAGCUUCUUGCCAGCAGCCUGUAUAAAUUUCCGGGUUAUGGCAUGUACAAUUACUCUACAAAUUUAAAGUCCCAAGCGUUUUCCAAGCGAAGACACUUGGCACUUGGGGACUAAUGCAUAUUGAAUGUAUCUAUCUACAAACUGCCGGCUCAAUUGAGUAAGCCGGAACCUAAGUCUACAACAUAUUCCAUCAUAAGUCGUUGACUUGGGGGCUAGCAUGGUAAAGGUAACUAUGCAGUAAGUAAGAGGACAGCAGAAUGAUACCUCAGAUUUUUGCUGGAUCUGGUUCACCAUGGCAACCUCUGCGUCUCGGCUCUUGUGCACUUGGCUGAUGUAGCCAGAGACGAGCUCUCCAAUGCUCAGGUUGGUGUAGUCGGAGAGGUCCAGGUUCACCCGGUGGGGCUGCAGCAACUCCCCCUUAGCGGAGUACUUGGCUAGCAUGGUAGGUCUCCCCGGCUCAACGAACUCCGUCCGGGUGAUCACCACGUCCGAGUCGUCUGCUGGUGGAGCCGAGCUGGAGGCCUCCGGGUUAACAGAAGCUUCUGUAGUUGCCUUGGUAGUUGGGGCAGCGGCCUCAGGUGCCUUGUCGGUUGGAAUGGUGGCUUCGGGGGCGGAGGCAGCUGGCGGUUCUUGAGCCGUCACCUCCGGUUCAGGCAAAUCCGGCACUCCGGCUGACUUGGUCUUCUUCGCUCUCUUGGUGAGCUUUGCCUGGGCACUGAAAGGACAGAAACGUUAAGCACAAAAAGGGUAAGUAAAGACAAGUAUAAUGUGAGAUGGUUGUCAUUACCCGGGCGCGGUCUUGAAAGCCGGAAGACUCGACUGCAUAGAGUCGCCCGAAGAGGGGGAGGUCUCCUGAUAAUUGGAGUCAGAAGAAUUGAGUGGCUGACGGAUAACACCCGCCAACGGAUGGAAAGGGUACAAGUGGGAAAUAACCUCAGUUCGGCGCUUCCUUGAUGCGUCAGGUAGCCCGGAGGAGAGAUCGAUGUCCUUGCUGGUCCGGGUGUGACGCCGGCUUUCAUGAACCUGUCGCUUCAAAAUAAAUUGAGGGUCUUGGUAAGCUAAAGGAUGUGAAAAGCUUACUUUCCGGGUUACCCUUCGGACUUUCAGCUUUGGCAAGGGCUCCGAGUCGGAGGAAAGUGACAUUACCUCUUCAACCACUGGGUUACUUGCGCCGGUGUCAUCCUGUCAAUGAGCAAGUAUUGAUAAGGCGGACAGCAACAAACAACAAAUACAGCAAGGACUUAAAGGCUCAGGGGUUACCUCUGACUCGGAGUUGUCGCUUAAUUGCAUCAGCUCUGAAGCAGUAGGCCUGCUUCCUUUCUUGCGAGGGGCGGCUUUCUUGGCGGCUUUCUUCGCCUUUCUGGCCUUCUUGGCCGCUUCAUGGUCAUACUUGACCCGCCAGAAUUUAUCAUCAGCCUGAAAAGUACAAUGAGGUUUUCUUAAAAUGAUUCAGAUGAAAGGUAUGUACAGAUAAGAUAUUCAGAUUAGUGGCUUACCGCUGGGGCUGGGUUGGUUUUGCAGAAGGGGGCUAGCCCGGUCCUUCCGCAGUCUGCCAGGCUCUCAUUUAAAAGAGCCUUGGUCAUCUCCUCUGCAACGUCUUCAGGAAGACCAUUGCGGCUGUGUCUCUGAGGGUCGUCCUUUCGGCCCGUGUACUCACACAUUAAGCCGGGGCGGCAGCUCAAUGGGAUCACCCGCCAUGAGAUCCAGACCCGGACCAGAUCAAUUCCAUUCAGACCAUUGCCCAGGAGAGCCUUGAUCUUGUUAAUGGUGGGGAGCAGAGGUUGGCGCUCCGCUUGAGUCAGCUUGUCGGGCGGUGGGUGAGUCGGCUCCAGACGCGAGGGGCGGAAGCCGGGCAAUGGACUCUCGUCAGCCGGCGACGUGUCUUGGCAGUAAAACCACGUCAGGUUCCAGUCCUUGGGGUGGCUGGGCGGCUCUGCGUAAGGGAAAAGGCAGUCCCUACGCCGUUGGAUGGAGAUGCCACCUAAUUCCAGACUUGGCCCAUUGGCGCACUCAUUCUGACGGUUCAAGUAAAAAAGCUCUCUGAAGAGCAGCAGACUAGGUUCUUCUCCAAGGUAAACCUCGCAGAAGACUUGGAAAUUGCAGAUGUUGGACACUGAGUUGGGUCCUAUAUCUUGAGGCCGCAAAUCGAAGAAGUUUAGAACAUCUCUAAAAAACUUUGAGCCGGGCGGUGCGAAGCCCCGGCUCAUGUGAUCUGCAAAAAUCACUACCUCCCCAUCCUUUGGCUGUGGUCGCUCUUCUGACGGGUCAGGGGCACGGUAGGACAUGAUGUCCUUCUUGGGCAGAUAUCCAGACUUAACAAAAUCCGCUAGGGUCUCGUUGGUGACAUUGGACCUCAUCCAGUUGCAAGUAAUGGAGGUUUUGGGAGCUUUGGGAGGCAUGGUGAAAGUCGGCAGUCUAUGAUAAAAGGAAAAACGCCUGGGUUAAUUAUGAGCCGGAAGCAAUCUACAGUUCAAAUAUCAAGGUGGCGGCUUAUAAGGGGACUAAUGGUAUACACUUAAGUGCAUCGGGCUAUUUAAGCCGCCGAGGGAUUGAGAAUAAUUUGAUUGUCUACAGGCUUUAUCACAGCUAAGCCGGAAAUUUUUGUGGCGCAUGAUUUUCUUUAAGCCGGAAGGUUCUACGGCGCGUGGUUUCUUUAAACUGGAGCUGUAAACCGUCGAGAUUCAAUGAUUGCAGUUUUUUACUAAGUGUGGUAAAACAGAUUUCACACAUCGCAGUAAAAAAUUUGGAUCAAAAUGGUCGGGUAAACGAAAAUUUUCUAGACCUAAAAUACAGACGCAGGGGAGUUCUUGAGCUCGAAUGAGGUCUUUAUGUAGUGAAAAGAAGUCUACUUGUGUUUGAAAUGGGUGCUAAAGCAUCUACCGCAGUGGUUCCAUACGGGCUAAGAUCAAAAAGGAGCAGUAAAAAUGAAAACUACUGAGGAACUUGCGGGCGAUGGCGAAGAACACGGAUGAACUACUCGAACCCUACCGCAGAUCUGUUCUAGCAGGGCAGAAGAAGCUUACAGAGGCUGGUGAGUUGCGGAAGUCGUCGCGUAUCUCUGGUCAGAUCAGGGUGAUGCAGCGGCCUGAGUUGAUGACGACGAGGAGACCCACGGCGGCGACAGCAGCAGAGCUCGGGCAGGGGGGCAGUGGCGCGAGGAAGAAGACGAAGGAGAGAGAGGUGGCUGGAGGCCCGUCGGGCCGGCCUAUUUAUAAGGCAAGCUCAUGAGUGGGCGCGAGGAUCAAGGAGUCCACGGCGUGGUUAUCUCCUCACGAAACGCCUCGAUUUUCGAGAUGACAGUAAAUGCAAAGAUCCGUUGUGGAUCUGGCGGAGUAAACAACGGGCUUAAUGGAAGAUGACAUCACGGCGGAUUAUCCAGAGUCCAGAGGAUGACGUCACGCCGGGUUAUGGCCUUCACACAAAUGGUAAGCCGGAGAUUUUUUUUUCCUGUCGAAAGAAUUGAAGAUUGACAUGAGCCGGCUCAAAUCAAUCUGGGGCCUAAUGUUGAGGAUAUAGACCUUAGAGUCACCCGCCAGGAGGGGCCGGGUUACUCAUAUGGUCAUUACCAGAAGCCCGGCGCCAAUCUUGAAGACGGUGGGCCAAAGAGGGGCUUAAGACCCGGAUAUGGCUUAAGGCCCGUAGUUACAAUCAUUAUUAUGGUAGAACUUGUAGUGUAAGGCAAGAAUAGUUGAGAGUCCGAGCCGGACACUCUUAUGAGCCGGCCGGGACUCUGAGAGCUGCUGGGCGUCAGCCUCCCUAUAUAAAGGGACGACCCGGCAGCGGUUUAGGGACGACAACAAUCUGAUCGAGAGCCGGGCAUAGCAGUUUAGCUUCCUGGCGAUCGUAACCCUAAUCAAUACCACCUCAAACUGGACGUAGGCUUUUACCUUCACUGUAAGGGGCCGAACCAGUAUAAACCCUCGUGUUCCUUGUCCCGCAUAACCUCUUCAAGCUUCCUAGCUGCGAUGGCUCCACGACUAAGUCCUAGUUCGAGGACAUCUGCCGUGACAAUUCCACGACAAGAGGGCUCCGACCCCUUCGCCACGCCGCCGCCGAGCCUGCGGCCACUACGCCGGAGCCCGCCCUCGCCGCGACGCCCUCCCGCACCUACGCCGCCCGUCCGCACCGCCCCAUCCCCUCCGCCCCCGAUCUGGAACUCGGCCUCGGCCCUGACGCCACCGCCGCGCGGAGCUCGCCGUCGUCCGCCCCGUCCUCUCCCUCGCCGGAGCCGCCCAUCGUCACCGUCGUCGUCUACCUCGUCCUCCUCCUCGAGCACACUGCCGUUCCCCUACACCGCAAGUGAGGCCCGGCCUCUCCUCCUCCCCCCCUGUCGCCCGAGCUCGCUGGAGCUCGUAACCCCCACCGCUGCAUGCACUCCCUCGCUCCACCGCGCGCGCCCCGGCGGCCUUGAACGCGCCCACGGUCGCCCCCCUGCUACCCGUCUCCCUCGCUCACCCCGCACGCCGCGAUCCCUGCCCCUGUUUUCCCCUGCUCUGCUCCGCCACCAGCCGCGACCGAGCCCGCAUGGCCCGCCUCCCCUGCUCCUGUGGACGCCGAGCCUCCCCACCGGCCCCGGCGUGAGCCCUCGCUGUCGUUGCGCCACCGCAACCGCCGUGCGCACGCACACCCGCACUUCGUCGCCCACCGCUGCCUUCCCCUACCACGUCGCGCUCGUCGCCGUCCCUGGUGUUGGCGCUGUCGUCCCGUGCCCCGCCUCCGCCUCUGGCCCCGCAGGCCACCGCCACGCCGGCGGCCAGUUCCGGCACCCCGCGGCGCCCCGGGUCUGCCCUUCGGGUGCAAACGCCCGGGUGCCCGCUGCCCGUUUCGGCCGCUAGGCCCCCAGGAGCCUAUGACAAAGGGGUCCCGCACCCCAGAACGAUUAAAAAAAGAAUGAUUUAAAAAAUAAUAAUAAAUUAAUAAAUAAAUAAAUAAAAUAAAAAUAAGAAUAAGAAUAAGAAUAAUUAAUUAAUUAGUAAAUUAAUUAGUUAACUAACCCUGUUUAGAUUAAUCUAAUUUAAUUAAUUAGUUUAAUUAAUAGUUAAUUAAUUAGUUAACCCUAAUUACCCUAAUCAGUCUAUGACAUGUGGGACCCACGUGUCAGAUGACUGCUGACAUCAGCAUGAUGUCAUGCUGAUGUCAUCACAACACUGUUUCGGAUAAUGUAUAUAUUAAAUAAUUAAAUAAAUUCCAGAAAUUAAUUUAAAUCUUUUAAAAUUCAUAUAAAAUAAACCGUAGCUCGGAUGAAAAUACUUUGUACAUGAAAGUUGCUCAGAACGACGAGACGAAUCCAGAUACGCAGCCCGUUCGUCCGCCACGCGUCCCUAGCAUAGUGAACCUGUAACAUUUCACCUCCGGUUCAUCUGUCCGAAAACGCGAAACACCGGGAAUACUUUCCCGGAUUUUCCCCCCCUUCGCCGGUACCACCUACGACCGCGUUAGGGCACACCUAGCACCGCUCGUUGUCAUGUCACGCAUCGUCAUGCUUAUGUUUGCAUUGUAUUUACUGUUUCUCCCCCCCCCCUCUUCUCUCCGGUAGACUACGAGACCGACGCUGCUGCUGCCCAGUUCGACUACGGAGUUGACAACCCCUCCUACUUGCCAGAGCAACCAGGCAAGCCCCCCCUUGAUCACCAGAUAUCGCCUAUUCUUCUCUAUACUGCUUGCAUUAGAGUAGUGUAGCAUGUUACUGCUUCCCAUUAAUCCUAUCCUGAUGCAUAGCCUGUCAUUGUUGCUACAGUUGUUACCCUUACCUGCUAUCCUACUGCUUAGAAUAGGAUGCUAGUGUUCCAUCAGUGGCCCAACACUCUUGUCCGUCUGCCAUGCUAUACUACUGGGCCGUGAUCACUUCGGGAGGUGAUCACGGGUAUAUACUAUAUACAUUAUAUACAUGACACAUGUGGUAACUAAAGUCGGGUCGGCUCGAGGAGUACCCGCAAGUGAUUCUGAUGAGGGGGCUGAAAGGACAUGUGGCUCCAUCCCGGUAGCGGUGGGCCUGGGUUCCUGACGGCCCCCGACUGUUACUUUAUGGCGGAGCGACAGGGCAGGUUGAGACCACCUAGGAGAGGGGUGGGCCUGGCCCUGGUCGGUGUUCGCGGAUACUUAACACGCUUAACGAGAUCUUGGUAUUUGAUCUGAGUCUGGCCAUUUGGUCUAUACGCACUAACCAUCCACGCGGGAGUAGUUAUGGGUAUCCCGGGGUCGUGGUAUCAGCCGAAGCCUUCGUGACGUCAGCGACUGAGUGGCGCGCGCCGUGUUGGACCACUUUGACGUAACCGCCGUGAUCGUGUGGGUUGCUAGGUCUGCUCGCGGCCGCGUUCGCAACGUGCAGGUGUGCAUAGGGCGAUGGGCCCAGACCCCUGCGCGCUUAGGAUUAGACCGGCGUGCUGACCGCUCUGUUGUGCUUAGGUAGGGCUGCGACGCGUUGAUCUUACGAGGCCGGGCAUGACCCAAAAAAGUGUGUCCGGCCAAAUGGGAUCGAGCGUGUUGGGUUAUGUGGUGCACCCCUGCAGGGAAGUUUAUCUAUUCGAAUAGCCGUGUCCCUCGGUAAAAGGACGACCCGGAGUUGUACCUUGACCUUAUGACAACUAGAACCGGAUACUGAAUAAAAUACACCCUUCCAAGUGCCAGAUACAACCCGGUGAUCGCUCUCUAACAGGGCGACGAGGAGGGGAUCGCCGGGUAGGAUUAUGCUAUGCGAUGCUACUUGGAGGACUUCAAUCUACUCUCUUCUACAUGCUGCAAGAUGGAGAUGGCCAGAAGCGUAGUCUUCGACAGGACUAGCUAUCCCCCUUUUAUUCUGGCAUUCUGCAGUUCAGUCCACUGAUAUGCCCCUUUACACAUAUACCCAUGCAUAUGUAGUGUAGCUCCUUGCUUGCGAGUACUUUGGAUGAGUACUCACGGUUGCCUUUCUCCCUCUUUUUCCCCCUUUCCUUCUAUCUGGUUGUCGCAACCAGAUGCUGGAGUCCAGGAGCCAGACGCCACCGUCGACGACGACUCCUACGACACUGGAGGUGCCUACUACUACGUGCAGGCCGCUGACGACGACCAGGAGUAGUUAGGAGGAUCCCAGGCAGGAGGCCUGCGCCUUGUUCGAUCUGUAUCCCAGUUUGUGCUAGCCUUCUUAAGGCAAACUUGUUUAACUUAUGUCUGUACUCAGAUAUUGUUGCUUCCGCUGACUCGUCUGUGAUCGAGCACUUGUAUUCGAGCCCUCGAGGCCCCUGGCUUGUAUUAUGAUGCUUGUAUGACUUAUUUAUGUUGUAGAGUUGUGUUGUGAUAUCUUCCCGUGAGUCCCUGAUCUUGAUCGUACACAUUUGCGUGCAUGAUUACUGUACGGUCAAAUCGGGGUCGUCACACCCGCCAUGAGCUUCGAGCAGAUGCUCGACGCCCCCUGCAAGCACCACGGCGGCGCAAGACCCUCCACGCACACGCUCCGGCAGUGCGCCAUCACCAAGCGCAUCAUGAGGGGCAACGUCCCGCCCCCUCCGGCUCCGGCUCCAGGCGCGGGACAGCCGCCUCCGUCUCCACCGCCGCCUCCAGCUGGCGGCGCGAUGCGCGACGACGCCUACCCAGACCAGAGCGCGGCCUACGUCGUCUUCACCGGCCUCGGCGGCGACAAGCGCAGCAAGCGCCUCCUUCGGCAGGAGGUGAACACCGUCGUCCCGGCCAAGCCGGAGUUCAUGCAUUGGUCGGAUCGCCCGAUCACCUGGACACGGGAGGAUCACCCGGCAGUCAUGCCGAGCCCGGGUGGUUACGCCCUCAUCCUCAACCCCACCGUCGUCGCGCGGCGCACGUGCAAGUUCUCCCGAGUCCUCAUCGAUGGCGGCAGCAGCAUCAACAUCCUCUACCGCGACACAAUGACCAAGCUCGGCCUCAAGGCCGAGGACCUGGAGCCGACCCGAAUGAUCUUCCACGGCAUCGUGCCCGGCCUCUCCUGCUCCCCCAUUGGCCGGGUCCGGCUAGAUGUCUUGUUCGGUGACAGCAGCCACUUCCGGCGCGAACUGAUCCGGUUCGAGGUUGUGGACCUGUCCAGCGCGUAUCACGCGUUGCUGGGCCAGCCUACGCUCGCCAAGUUCAUGGCGGUUCCCCACUACGCGUACCUGAAGAUGAAGAUGCCGGGUCCCAAGGGCCUCAUCACCGUCACCGGCGAUUACCGCCAGUCCCUGGAGUGUGCCUGAGACGGCGCCAAGUUGGCCGAGUCGCUGGUCAUUGCCGAGGAGCGGUGCCAGCUCGACCGGAUCGUCGCCCUGGCAGGCGAGGCCUCCGCCGCGUCGAUCCCGACCCCGGACCCGGCUGACGAGGCCGCCUUCAAGCCCUCCAAGGAGACCAAGAAAGUGAAGCUCAACCCAGAAGACCCCAGCUGCAGCAAGUACGUUGUCAUAGGCGCCCGCCUCGACAGCAAAUAGGAAGGCGAGCUCGUCGACUUCCUCCGUGAGAAUCGGGAUAUCUUCGCAUGGACCCCCAAGGACAUGUCGGGUAUCCCGAGGAAGUAUGCCGAGCACAAACUUCACGUCCGCAAGGACGCCAAGCCUGUCCGUCAACCCCUACGACGAUUUUCCGAAGAGAAGAGAAGAACCAUUGGUGAAGAGGUCGCCAAGCUUUUGGCGGCCGGCUUCAUAAUGGAAGUGUUUCACCCCGAGUGGCUGGCCAAUCCAGUCCUCGUCCUGAAGAAGAACAAGACCUGGCGCAUGUGUAUCGACUACACCAGCCUCAACAAGGCCUGUCCCAAGGAUCCGUUUGCCCUCCCGCGGAUCGACCAAGUCAUCGACUCGACCGCCGGGUGUGAGCUCCUGUCCUUCCUAGACGCUUACUCCGGCUACCACCAGAUCAAGCUGGACCGGGCCGACGCCCUGAAGACGUCCUUCAUCACGCCCUUUGGGGCGUAUUGCUACAUCACCAUGUCGUUCGGCUUGAAGAACGCCGGCGCCACCUUCCAGCGCUGCAUGCAGAAAUGCCUGCUGCCGCAACUCGACCGCAAUAUCCACGUAUACGUGGACGACAUCGUGGUGAAGACCAAGCAGCACCUCACGCUCCUCGACGAUUUGAAGGAAACCUUCGCCAACCUCCGCGAAUACAAGGUCAAGCUUAACCCGGAAAAAAUGCGUCUUCGGUGUCCCGGCCGGAAAGCUACUCGGCUUCCUCGUCUCGGAACGCGGCAUUGAGGCGAACCCGGAGAAGAUCAAGGCCAUCGAGCGCAUGCGCAAGCCGGCUCGGCUGCGCGAUGUCCAGAAGUUCACCGGUUGCUUGGCCUCGGUCAGCCAAUUUCUAAGCCGGCUGGGCGAGAGGGCGCUACCCCUGUACCAGCUGAUGAAGAAGACGAGCCUGUUUGAAUGGAACGGCAAGGCAGACGAGGCCUUCCAAGACCUCAAGUGCAUGCUCUCCGCCGCACUAGUCCUGGCCGCGCCGACCGACAAGGAGCCGUUGUUGCUCUACAUAGCCGCGACCCCGCGGGCGGUCAGCACGGUGCUGGUGGUCGAGCGACCAGAGAAGGGCAAGAUCCAAGCCGUCCAGCGCCCAGUCUACUACCUGAGCGUGGUGCUCUCCAUCUCCAAGCAGAACUACCCGCACUACCAGAAGAUGUGUAACGGCGUGUACUUCACCGCCAAGAAGCUGAAGCAGUAUUUCCAAGAGCACGUCGUCACCGUGGUCAGCACGGCGCCUAUCGGAGAAAUCAUCGGGUGCCGCGAUGCCUCUGGCCGGGUUGCCAAGUGGGCGAUCCAGCUAGCCGGCCACACCAUCCUCUAUGAGCCCCGCACCGCGAUCAAGUCUCAAGCCCUGGCCGACUUCCUCGUCGACUGGACCGAGACCCAGUACUUGCCACCGCCUCCUGACUCGACGCAUUGGCGCAUGCACUUCGACGGGUCCAAAAUGCGACUCGGCUUGGGGGCCGGCAUCGUACUGUCGUCCCCGAAGGGCGACCGGCUCCGCUACGCGCUCCAGAUCCACUUCGCCGUCUCCAACAACGUCGCCGAGUAUGAAGCCCUUUUGCACGGCCUCCGGCUUGCCAAGGAACUCAGCAUCCGGCGCAUCCUGUGCUACGGCGACUCAGACCUGGUGGUGCAGCAAUGCUCCGGCGAAUGGGACGCCCGCGACUCCAACAUGGCAAGCUACCGCUUCCUCGUCCAGAAGCUGUCCGGAUCCUUCGAGGGCUGCGAGUUCCUCCACGUCCCGCGCGCGGAGAACGAAGCAGCCGACACGCUCACCAAGAUCGCCUCGUCAGGACAAGCCAUCCCGUCCGACGUCUCCCUCGAGCACCUGCGCGAGCCGUCCGUCAAGCCAUCGCCGGACUCCUAGUCCAUCCGCGUUCCAGACGACCCGGCCGCACCUCAACCCGGCCCGGGGACUGCUGAACCCGGCCCGGGGCCUGCUCAGCUCGACCCGGCCACCAUCGUCCCGGACCCGGCCGUCGCCAUCCCCAACCCGGGGGCUGCUCAACCCGGCUCGGGGGCUGCCGACUCGGAACCCACCCUGGUGGCCGUCUUCACCGUGGUUGCGGCUCCAUCUUGGGCCCUCCCAAUAUCAGAAUUUUUGGAAAACGGGGUUCUCCCCAUGGACGAGACCGAAGCUCGGCAAGUGCAGCGCCGGGCGUCCGCCUACAGCAUCAUCAACAACGAGCUCGUCAAGCGCAGCUCCACCGGCGUGUUCCAGCGCUGCGUUGAGCAGGAACGGGGCAUCGACAUCCUCCUCGACAUACAUCAGGGCGAGUGUGGGCACCACGCCGCAUCACGAUCCCUGGUGGCCAAGGCGUUCCGCCACGGUUUCUACUGGCCCACGGCCCUCCAAGUUGCCGAGUCGCUCGUCCUCAAGUGUGAGGGACCAGCGCUUCAGCAAACGCAGCCACCAGCCGGCGUCAGCACUCCGCACCAUACCGAUCGCCCGGCCCUUCGUGGUCUGGGGACUUGACAUGGUGGGACCCUUCAAAACCGCUCGAGGCGGCAUGACGCACUUGCUGGUGGCAGUGGAAAAAUUCACCAAGUGGAUCGAGGCAAGACCAAUCAAGAAAUUGGAUGGGCCAAUAGCCGUCUGGUUCAUCAAGGACAUAGCGGUGCGCUACGGCAUGCCGAACAGCAUCAUCACCGACAACGGCACCAACUUCGCCAAGGGCGCGCUCGAGCAAUACUGCUCCGUCUCCGGCAUCCGCCUCGACCUGGCCUCCGUUGCACAUCCGCAGUCCAAUGGGCAGGUCGAGCGGGCCAAUGGACUCAUCCUGUCCGGCGUCAAGCCGCGACUCGUUGAGCCGCUCAUCCGCUCACCCGGCAGCUGGCUUGACGAGUUGCCAGCCGUUCUCUGGAGUCUAUGCACCACGCCGAAUCGGUCGACCGGGUUCACCCUGUUCUUCCUCGUCUACGGAGCCGAAGCCGUCAUCCCGACUGAUGUCGAGUUCGACUCGCCGCGCGUCGCGAUGUACACCGAAGCCGAAGCCAGAGAAGCCCGCGAAGAUGGCGUCGACCUGCUCGAAGAAGCACGCCUCCUGGCGCUCAGUCGCUCGGCCAUCUACCAGCAAGGCCUGAGGCACUACCACAGCAAGAAGAUCAAGCCCCUCGCGUUCCGCGAGGGCGACCUUGUCUUCCGACUUGUCCAAGAGCAGGCAGGCCAGCACAAGCUGUCCCCUCCAUGGGAGGGCCCAUUCAUCGUGAGCAGGGCCUUGCGCGACCGCAACACCUACUACCUCAUCGACGCACGCAAGUCAAGGAAGCGCAAGAAGGACACCGCCGGUGAAGAAACGACCCGGUCGUGGAACGCGGAACUCCUCCGCCCAUUUUACAGUUAGCCGCACGAACGUAUGUAUCAUCGCCUUUUGUAAACGCAUCAAACUAUGGGGUCCCCGAACGAGACUCGGGGACUGCCUUUUGUCGACCAAUUUAUUGUGUCCCUAUUUUCUUGCAUCACUAUACCACUGAACCCGGCCACCGGUCCGACUCGCUCGACCCGGGGGCUCGGGGGCUGGCCGGCUCGGUCGCCACCCCGCCGCCUUACUUGGUGAUUCUUGAUAAAGUUAGGAUGCCGCGGUCCCCCACUUCGCCCUAAAGCCACAGAUCCAGCUCUGACUGUCGGCUGGCAAGCACAACGGGCCAAAGCUCCUUUACGCUUCAUACACUAAGUCAAAGGCUGCCGGGUCGAUCAACCUGGCCCACCAUUCAUCAAAUAAACAGCCGCACGACCGGCUGCUCGCCAACCGGCUUCGCCGGAUUGCCGCCAGCCGGCCCAGUGGGUGUUUCGCUUGCGCUCAACGUUUCGAGGGACCCAAGUCCUGCGCGCUCCUCCCAAAGAACCGAACUCCUUGUCAUGGACCGGAGCCUCGGCCGUCUGACUCGCGGGGGGGAGGUUUGAGAAAGGAAAAGCAUGAAAUCGGUCCAAAAAAUGGAAGGCAAAAAAGCAAAAGCACCCACGACAUCUACACAAGUAUUUAAGAAAAGGCCCAUGGCCCGAGUUCAUUACACCCUAAAACCCCCAGUGGGUGGGUGGACCUGCUAUUUAACAGAUUUUACACAAAGUGUCUCAGGCAUCUCCAGCGCCGCGUCGCGACAUCGACGGCUCUCCCCUGGCGGCCUCCGGGUCCAGCGAGGUGCCAGUGUCCUCCUCAGCACCCACGUCGCGGUAGACGCCCGUCUCCUCCGAGCUCCCCUCCGGAUUGUGGAAAAGCAAGCCGUAGGCGUCGCCGUCCACGGCCCUGCCGUCUUCCUCCGCUCCGGAUGGAACUCGUCGUGGAAGGCGAACUCGGCGAUGUAGCUGGCCCGGGAGGCGAUCCGGCCGGCUUGCUCCUGCAAGAGCUGCUCCGAACCGGCCCGCUGGCCCAUCAACGCGUCCAGCUGCAGGUCCGGAUCCCAGGACAGCGCGAACCGGAGCGCCAUCUCAGCACAGGCGCGAGCGGCGGAGAUGCGCCACUCGCCAAGCCGGUCCGGCCCCAUCUCCAACCAACGCGCCAGGCGCGAGAAGCUGCUCGGUUGGACGGAGUCCGGCCAUAGGGCCGCCGUCAUUGCGGUGCCAGCCUGGGACAGCCGCCCCAACUGCGUUCCCAGGACCUGCAGGCGGGCCUCAGCGGCGGCGAUGAUCUCCGGGAAGGUCCAGGCCACCCGCGGAUCCGUCCCGGACCCAAUGACGCCGGUCGGGUCGCGCUGAUAGCGGACGGCUUCCUCCUCCAGCCGCUGCGUCUCUGGGAAGGCCCCUGCCACAAAGGAAGAAGCGAGUUAGAAGAAGAACAACAAGGAAGAAAGGCCGGAUCCCGGCCCGGCAAACGACAAGAAAAAGCACUUACUGGAGAAGGACUCUUCCAGGUGCUGCGCCUCAAGCAACGUACCACGCCGCUCCCGCUCAAUGGUGCGGUCGCGCUCCUCGAGCGCCUUCUUCAGAUCGGCCGCCUGGGCAAGGGCCGCCUUCAGCUCGGCGUCCUUGUCUUCGGCCACCUUCUCGGCCGCCUCGCGGCGACGGGCCUCGUCCUGACGGGCCCCCUCAGCCGUGGUGACCUGCCCCCGCAGGCGAUCCACCUCGGCCUGGAGCCAGCCCUUGUCGUCGGCCAGCUGGCCGCGCUGCUGGUCCACCUCCACCAGGGCCUGCCGCGCCUCUGCCGCCUUGGCGGCUUCCGCCUUAAGGAACUCCACCUCGGCCUCGAGGCGGCUCUUGUGACCCGCCAGCUGCUCAUGCAGCCGGUUGGCCAUGUCGAGAGACCGCCGAGCCGCGGCCGCCUCGGCCCUCGCCUGCGCCGCCUCGACACCAAGACAGCUGGUGUCGGCAACGAGUCGGUCGUAGUGAUGACCAGCCCAGAGCAGACGAGUCCGCUAGGACAGCACCUCGGCUGCGAAAAAGGACUCAGCAGAAGGAAAAAGCAAGACUUAAGAUUUGGCCCAACUGUUACACAGUUGGCCCGAAUCUCGGGGGCUACACCCAGUGGGUGCGCUAGUGCACCCCCACUAGAAAAGAGCACAAGAAUACCUGCGGCGACGUGGAGCUCCUCCUCCUUGGCGGCAAGCUGCUCCACGAGCUCCCGGUGCUUGCCCAGGAGACGAUUGUAGGCGGCGACCCGGAAGGCGUCGAGAUGCUGAAGAAAGCAGAAAUCAGAACAAGGCCAACACUCUAAAGAUUUGACCCAACUACUACGUAGUUGGCCCGGACCUCAGGGGCUACACCCAGUGGGUGCGCUGGCGCGCCCCCACAAAGAAUAAAAUUACAAGAAGACUUACCAGAACGACGCGCUCCAGGUCGCGCGUCCGCUCCACCUCGUCCUGGGCGAAGGCCACGAGCCGUUCCGUCCGGCCUCGCAGGCGGCGACUGACGGCGUCCAGCGCCGCCUCCUCCUGGGUCUGAGGCCCGAAGACAACGGCGCCCCCGCUCCGCGCCGGCUGCGGCACGGCAGCUUGGCGCCCUCCCUGCCGGGGCACCAAGGCGUGCUCCCCGCUGGUCGCUCACGACGCGGCCAGCACCUCCUCCAACGCCCCUCCCAGCGCCGACAAUGACCCGGACGCCGGGACGCCCCGCGUCGCCGUCUCUGACCCGGACGCCGGGACGCCCUGCGUCGCCGUCUCCGGCCCAGCUGCCAGGGUGGCCUCCGGCACCGCCGCCCGCAGCGUCUCUUCCAAAACGACGCCGCCUCCACCACCAUCAGUCCCCUCUCGCUCGACCACGUCGGCCCGCGGCGGGGUGUCAUCCUCCACCUCCACGACCACCCGGUCGGGGAUCCCCACCUCAGCCCGGCCUCCACGGUCGCGCUCCCUCACCGACGACGGCUCAAAGACCGUCGCUGCCACCACCGUGCCCUCCGGCAUCUCGCGCCAGGCCGGCUCCGCGCCGGCUUGCGCCCAUGCCGCCGCCGCAUCGGUCCAAGCACGGACCGACGCCGCCUCCAGCUCCGCCUCGGCCCGGUUCCUGUCCCGCCAGGCCAAGGCUUCGGCGUCGAUCGGAUCCAGGCUGAGGUCCGAGUCGGCCCGUCCCUCCACCUCGGCCUGGUCGGCGAGGUGUGACCGGCUCCUGCGGAACGCGGCCCCUUCGGCGGUCGCGGCUUCCGCCGCCGCCCUCGCCAGCGCGAUUGGCGACCUGGAGAAGAAGACAGAAUAAGCAGAAAAGAAACAAGACUAGUUGAAGAAAAAAAAUCUGAGCGCAAACGAGAGAUGAAGCUUACCCUGCCAAGACCGGGACCGGGGUUGGCCUCCCGUGCCCGCCGCCGCGCUUCCUCUUGGCCGGCCUCCCGGCCCCAGCCGGGUCCGCCGUGCGCUUCGGGGCCCGGGCUCACGGCGCGACGCUGUCUUUCCCAUGCGGGUGGCUAGGCGCCGCCCCAUGCGGGGACCCGGCUCCGCCCGCGUCGCCGCCUCCCCCGCCCAACGCCGCUACACCGACAACUGGUGUCAGCACCGACCGUUCCGUGCCGCGGUCAGCAAUUCAAGACACAUGAAGAAAAACACGAGACUUACCCGCGCGACGCCCAGCGCCGGCGUCGGACUCGGCCUCCUCCUCCCCGCCAUGAGCCGCGGGCUCCUCUGGCGCCACCGGCUCCACCUGCGACGGGGCCUGGGCGUAAGGAUGCCGAAUAGCGUUCAGAAGUACCCCCGCGUCGCGUCAGGACGGAUGAGAAGGUGCGCGGCAGCAAAGUAAGAAGACCAGACACUCACCCGUGGUGCCGGGUUCGACUGGCUGUACGGCGCCUUGCCGAACUGCCAGUCCUCACCAAGGUUGGCCUUGGAGAUGUCAUUCACGCCGCGCGCGACCUGCUCCGCGGACAACCGCGUCGACCCCAUGCGGUUGGGGUCUUGAAGGCCGACCAUCUCGCCGAUGAGGCAGGAGCGCCCCUGAAGCGGAAGGACCCGGCGCAUGAUGAACGCGGCGAGGAGGUCGGUGCCGGUGAGCCCCUCCUGCGUCCUCAUCACCGUCACCCGCUCGCAGAGAUUAACGAUCUCCUGCGACGGGCGCCUGGGCGAGUAGCCCCAGUUCGUCUUCGCCCGUGGCGGUGCGAUGGCGAAGGCCGGAAGGUUGAUGCGAUCCGCACCAAGGUUACGGACGUAGAAGAAGGAGUUCUGCCACUUCUUGGCAGAAUCCUCCAGCGGGAUCUUGGGGAAAUCCACCCCUGACCGCUUCGAGAUGACGGCGGCACCGCAAUCGGCGAACUCCCCGGCCGACGGGCCCUGCUGCUUCAAGGAGAAGAAGCGCGCCCAGAGGUCGAUCAUAGGCUCGACCCCCAGGUACCCCUCGCAGAGGGUGACGAACCCGGAGAGCUGGACGAUGGCGCCGAUGCCAAGAUGAUGCGGCUGGAGCCCGAAGAACUCCAGAAACGCGCGGAAGAAGGUGCUCGCCGGCAGCCCGAACCCGCGCUCGAAGUGCGUGAGGAAGACCACGCGCUCCUGCCCCUCGGGCCGAGGGCUCUGCUCGCCGCGCGGCAGGCGGACGCCGACGUCCGUCUCCCGCGGCUGGCGCCGCGUCGCCCGGAGUUGGGUGAUGUCCUCGGAGGUGACAUUCGAACCCAUCCAGGAGCCCGAUGGCAGCGACAUGAUCGAAGGAAGAUGGACGGCAAAGCAGUUCUGCUCGGAGCAGCGGGCGCCGCAGUGCGUCAGUUGCAAAGAGCGGAGCGAGAGCAAAGGGACAAGAGGGCGCGAGCGAGAAUAAUGUCCGCCGCCCCCUGCCCCCCGAUUUAUAACUCUCGUUUUGAACUUGGGGAAGUGGGGAAGUGGGAUCGUCUGCAUGCGCCUGUUCCACUACCCCGCAAUAAGUGCGCACGUACACGCGCAGUAACUGCCCGGGGAAGAGCAACCGGCCCCCGGACGCCACAAUAAAUCCGCGCGCUUGGGCCGAGGGCGCGGCGGUGGGCCCCAGCCCGUCGCCCGGUCCCGUCACGCGCGUGGCCUGUCAGGCCCCUCCGACUUUCGGGCACCACGUGGCGCCCGCGCAAAGCCCGAGGGAUUGCCCCAAGAUUCGGCGGACUUCUCGGUCCCCGCCACGGCCAAGAUGUUGCGAUCCGGUUUCCGAGAAAACCGGCACACAGUGGGUGUUACCGGACCCGGCGCUCGCAGAAUCCACCUUGCUUAAGGGGGAAACUGCGAAGGCCCACUCAUCCAAAGAUGGCGGACCUUCACAGCUUCGGGGACUACUGUCGGGGGGAUGGACCCCGGGCAGGCGACGGAACCCGGAUCCUCUUCAAAAACAACGGUGCUGGCACCGCCCCUCAAUACCGGCACGCGCUUGGCCGGGUCGCUCGACCCGGCCAAGCCCCGCAAACCGGCCAGACUAGCCGACCCGGCAAGACACGUCGACUCGGCCUCAACAACUGGCGCAAGACAGCCGAACCCGGCACGGCCGAAGCCUCCUCAACAAGCCAGCGCCACCCAUGGCGUGCUACGCAAUCCAGCCGCGGGUCAACUCUCAUCCCAUCCAGGCCGUAUGAUGGGGACGAGACUUUAAUCAACGAUGACCGAGGCAACAGUGCCCCGCCCAUGCCUCUGGUCAGCAGGAACGUGGCAACAGUGCCCCUCACCUACCCGCUGACCAGGGCCGGCGUGGCAACAGUGCCCCCGCCCUCACCGCUGACGACAGCAAGCGGCAACCUGACGGAGAGCACUGUACGCGACUCAACUCGGCCACGCCCUGACGAUCGACAAGACGGCGCACAGUCCCCCUAGGCUUGCGGGGCCCGCACCUAGGGGAACCCGGCGAACCACAAGCCCUCAGCGGGACCCAGCCCGGGUCCCCGGACACCGACAACACGGACCCACCGAAUUAUAACAUUACCAUUGUACCCCCGGGGGUUGGACUAUAAAACCCCCGGGAGCCCACGAUCAUUCGGGGGGCGAGCAAGAGGACUAGCCACAAAACAGCAACACUGGAGAGAAGGAGCAGCCCAAGCCUUGGCCAGCUUCCUUCCUCCUCCAUACAGCUCCAGGAGCAACAUUGUACUAUCGAUCAUCCAACUAUGCUCGGCAGGACUAGGGGUAUUAUCUCUCCGGAGAGCCCCGAACCUGGGUAUAUCCGGCGUCCCGCGCCCGCUCAUGCCAACCUCGCCUCUGGAGUCCACCAGCGCCCUCGAGCCUCCUCCUCUCUUUAGCCAUCCCUUGGCAUAUGUCGUGCGCCUACCACGACACUCGCAAUAAUAUGAUCGAAAACAUUAGUGUUCCCAGAUUCGAAUGAUUUCCAGUGUAAAAGGCACCUGUAGACAAUACAGGCUGCAAUAGACCUGCCAUUCGAGAAUCCAAGAUUUUGACAUAUGAACCGAAUCAAUAUGUCUACGCUUUCUUUGUCCUGAGGCACAAAGUUUAAGCAUGAUAAAAUAGGAGUUAGGACUGAAUGCCGUGAGGGUCAAAGUAACUGGGCAAAGUUAGCUUUCUAUAAGCAACGAAGGAGGAACACAAAACUACCCGAAGUAGCAGUUGACCUGCACUUCCAUUGAGCACCCUGAUUUAUGCUGGAAGGAACUUACCAAAAAGCUUUCUAAUCCUCGCAGAUCUGAUGCCUUUGUCUCCUCAGACCCUACAUGUAAUGGGGAUGAUCGUUUGGCUGGUGGCACAUAAGCAACCGUCAACUUCACCACAUUGCUUGAUAUGUUAUAACCAUCAUCGUUAAUGUGCUUGGAUUCGAGUCUAUUUCCCAUCACUACGAUGGUCUUUACAAGGAAUUCAUCAUGGCAUUGCAUGUGCGAUGAUAACUCAUGCAGUUCUUCCACUGUAACAACCACAGUAAAUUUGGACCAUGGACAGAGGAAGGCACUAGCCGGUUCAAUGCUGUACUUCCUAAUCACGCUCAUAACCUGGAAAGAAAACGCGACAUGCUCCUUUGUAUUGUUAGUUAGAUGUACAAGGCAACGACUCCGUUUAUUUAACUCCAAACAAAACUGGAGCUCGCGGGGACUGAUCAGAAGAAACUCUCUUGGGUCAGCCGUAAUCUUCAUAAAAGAGCUCCAAGCAUUAGUAAGGAAUGGUAUCAGGACAUCCUCCAGCAGCUAAUUAUAUUUGAAUGCUCAACACUAUAUUGGUUGUCUGUUGCAGAGUUACAGGUCACCGCGUUAUGACAUUUCGAAAGAUGUAAACUUCAUUUGCACACUUGUUAGUUUCCCUAAAGGGAAAGGACAAGCCAGCAAGAUACAAUAUGUUCUGCAAUGCAUUAUCAUUAAAUGGUCAUACCCUAACGGAAGUGAUGAAAUUUGGAGCUUGCGCAGGCAUGCACGGGACUGACAGAAUUUGGAGUCCUUAUUCAGCGAUAUUAAUGGAGUGUUUCAUGAUUGCUCUAGAAUUGCAUCUAUUUCGUUCCAGCAUUGCCUAAGGGAUGCCAAUAGCGUGGUGCACAAUUUAGCAAAAUUUUCUUUUGAUUCUAAUACCAUUGUAAGUUGGGACGGUGAUCCUCCUAGUCAUAUUUUGUCGGAUGUCCUGUAUGAUGUGACUCUGCUUAAUCAUCAAUAAAGCGCAACAAGGCAUUCCUGUAAAAAAAAUGGGCAUACCCUAAGUGUUAGUGAUCUUUCAGCACCACUAACAUGGAAAUUGGUGCAUCCCCAUCUACUAAGCUUCUCGAGAAUUUCCGUUGUUGCCGGCCUUUCAUUGGGUCAGUUUCCAUGCAGCUUAGAGCCAUUUCCAGGCAACUUCUUAUUUGUUGGUAGUCUGUUUCUAGUGCUGCUGCUCCCAACCUUUUUUUCCAUUUCUCAAGUACCUGUGAAAUUGGAACAGAGAUAUAAAAUUAAACUACGCAAAAAUAAAAUAUGGCAUCGUCUCUAUCACAAAUAACCUCCAUCAUGGAUGCUGAAGCACAAUUACUUACGAGUUCAAUGAAGUCAUGGUACGACAAUUCUGUAUCAAAAGGUGAAGGGUACUUCCUGUACCCUGUUAUUAUCUGUAUGAUUAUGACGCCCAAACUGAAUAUGUCUGACUUAGUUGUGAUUGUACCGUGAUUUAUGUAUUCUGGUGCCAUGUAACCACUGCAUCGCAGCAUGGAUAGUAAGACUUUCAAGCAUCAAGAGAACUGUAAAGGAAAGGCAUGUCGCUGGUCACAAAAAUGCAAUAGAGACAUUUAACAUACCGUGUUCCAUCAGAAUUUUCAGUGUGAACUCGAGUUUGUUGUGCACUGAAAAGUCUUGACAGACCAAAAUCCGCGAUCUUUGGUAGCAUAUCGUCACCAAGCAAUAUGUUCGCUGGCUUUAGGUCCAAGUGAACAAUAGGAGUAUUAACUUGCCACUCCUCAUGAAGGUAAUGCAAGCCAUAGCAAAUCCCACUAAUUAUAUUGUAGCGCUUGUGCCAAUCAAGUCCAUGCGAUUCAUCUGUAACCAAAAGAAGCGAAAUUAAAUAAAUGUUAUGUGAAAAUAUAUAUUGUUGUGCACUUGUGCUGAUACAAUAUGAAAGCCCUCGCAAAAAAAAAGAUAUAAUAUGAAAUGACUGCAGAGUUCUCUUCCAUUUAACCACCAACAUAUAUUCACUGAUCUUUAUAUCAUUUCACAGAACUGCCUCAAUUGAAAAUAGCUCUACAAGCGACUUAUGCACACAAGAGUCACAGAUCAACAAGGCAAAAGAAGGUUCAACAUUGGUUAAUGAAAUCAAACUGCUAACUCAUGGAGAUAAAUGCCAUACUACAAUCACUCAACCUCGAUUAGUAGUAGUAGUAGUAUUAAAUCAGCGAUACAAGAUUUGCUAAACUGGACCCUAGCUGUCUUAAUGAACGAAUAACAACUAUUUUAAAUUGAUGAAUCACAAACACGGGAUUUUAUAAAAUGAGCACAAGUGAACAAAUAGGUAAUCUUAAUCCUAUAUAACUAAAUAGGUGAUCCUCACUAACCUGUUUCUCUCAACAUGUAAACACGUCACCUGAACAUGCAACCAUGCUGAGAAAAGGCUUUCCAUUCUACUCCCUCCGUCCCACAAUGUAUGAUGGUUUUUUACACAACACUAGAGGCAAAAAACGUCUUACAUUAUGGGACAGAGGGAGUAUUAUGUUACCUGUAUUCAAUAUAUUUUUACAUCUAUACAAUAACCAAAUACAAUAAAACAUAUGUAUUCCCAUUUCAGUUCUCAUAUUAUUAAUCCAAACAUUCAUGUUCCAUACAACCGAAUCCCAUAGAAAUACAUUGCAACCAAUUCCCGCAGCAACAUGCAGAUACCAUCUAGUUAAGUAACAACUAUGUAGAAAACCACAAAACAGCAGUCUCGAAAAAAGAGUUUUUUUGGGGAAACAAGAUAAGUCACAUAUGAACUUCCGUACCUGCAAGAUGGUAAUCAAGGCUCCCCUUAGGCAUAUAUUCCAAACAAAGCAACCUCUCACUUGCCUCAAUAAAUAUGUAUUUUCCCUCGUACUUUAAACGUAAAUGUUGUGUUUCAUAGCAAUACCCCACACAUCGCACUAUAUUCGGGUGGUUAAGGCUCAAAAGAUGAUGAACCUCAUUCUCAAAUUGCUUCCCAGAACCAGGCGUUAAUGGGUUAAUCUUCUUCACAGCUAUCAGUUCUCCAUUUGGUAGCAAUCCCUGUUUAAAGUCUCUUGUUAUUGUUAAUAUGGAUAAGGUUUUUGGAUCAAUAUACAUAUUGAAAAGAUUAAAAACAUAUGUUUUAAUCUUACCUUGUAUACCACACCGAAACCACCUGCGCCAAGUUCUCGCUCAGUAGAGAAGUUGUUUGUGAUUUUCUCUAGAUAUUGGUAUGAGAGCUUGCAUUCAUCCCGGAAUGUGCACCCCGGGAUAUCGCAUCUGCUAGAUUCAUCGUCCAUUUUUGUUUCUACUUAUACAAACACUCUCAAAUGAUGGCAAUCAUUGUUUGCCUUCCGCAGAGUGCAUGGUGUCCUCAGUAAGUUGUGCUGUGGCAAGUUGUCAGUGAGCAACUUAACCAAAGGAAAAUAACUGUAUAAAAUUGAAAAGGUCAGUUGUUAAGUGUAUUGCACCGUCUGAAAAGUAAUAUACUCCCUUAGUUCCGUAUUAGCCGUCGCUGAUCUUUAUACUAAAUCAGUGACAACUAAUAUGAAACGGAGGGAAUACAUAAUGCAUCACAAUUGGUCUACUAAGCCAUGUGUCACCUUAGCUUCGCACGUUCAUCGAAUGGGGGAAGAGACUUUGUAUUUGUCUUUCUAAACCCCUUUUUUCAUGAAAGUCAACAGCAUUGUUUUUUCAUCAAAUUAAGGAGAGUAUACAAGUGCUCGAGGAGUGACAGAAACGAGGGAAAAAUACACACCGAACAAGCUUAACUGAAACUAACUCCAAAACAGGUGAACAAAUUAGGCCGUCAACGCAUGCAUUUAGAUUGAUCUACUUAUCAUAGGCAUUAACUGAAUACGUCAGAGAUAAGGUGAAUUCAGCGAAUACAAACGGGAUACGUCUGGUGGCAUCAGAGCAAUAACUGCAGAUGAAUACGGAACCAUCUCUCUCUCCCUCUCCCUAGCUAGCCGUUUGUCUCUAGUGGUAAUGAACGCAAUUAUUGAUAUUUACGAGUGGCAGGGAUUCCACCGUUUGCAUCACAUGAACAGGAAGGGAAAAGAGGAAGGAAGAGAGGAAGAUGAACAAGAGAUUGGGCGAUAUGAGAAGUACUCCAGUAGAUAGAGGUGAGGAUGCAAUAAGUGCAUAGCAACAUGCUGCCAUUGGAGGGUUGCUCCAGAUUAAGUGCAAGUGCGUCUCCUUGUGAGUCAAAACGUGGAGCUGGUAACUGAUUGGUGAGGGGGAAUACGGCCUUUAAUACAUGCGAGAAAGCGACUCGGAAAUUUGAUAGUAUACCUUAACGAUGUAUACAGAUUCAUCGCUAAUCUCUAGGAAUUAAGUGGUGGGGAUAUGGUGGUCCUCGAGUGGCACCAUGACCCAUAGUGUAUUUUCUGGUAGAAAAAGGUCUAGAAAACUAAGCGGCGCAACAACCUUUCAGAUCUCAAAGAUGGAAAUCUAAAAGAAUAAACUGAUCAUAAGAGAGCAUUAAUUAGAUGAUGCACAAGAAACAGGUCGAUGAACCACAUAGAUUACGACGAACCUAGAGGAGACUUCCCGGAGAUCCUGCAAGUGGAGGAGGGCAAGCUGCAAACGAAGCUAAGCAGAAUGGGGUGAGCCAGCGGGGCAGAAGCAAGCAGAUAUAGACAUUACGACCGACUCCGAGACCAGAAAUAAGUAACAAAUGGGACUUCUCUUUCCCUGGACAUUACAUUAUGAGUGGGCUCCUUGACCAGGUCGCCACUCCAGUGCUGACCAAGGGGAUAAGCAAGAAUUCUUCUAAGAGUGACGGUAGCAUCAGAUCGCCGAUAGCAUUUGUAAAAAUACCUAACUUUUGCAUCUUCAGAUGCCAAAAAACUGUCCCCAACAAAUAAUAUAGAUUAAAAAAAAUUACAUCUCUUAAACUACAAUACUUCGAGUUGUAAAUUUACAUCUCCGGGUAUUGGAGAUGUAAAAAGAGCAGCCGCGCGGCAACCAUCAACCGCCUAUCAUUUCACUUCCCCUCCACCCUAUCUUCAUCCUCCCGCUGCCCGCCACCGCCCCGCUAUGGAUCCACCUCCGCUUCGCCGCCCGCCUCCGAUUCCACAUAGUUUUGGCCGCCGCCCGCCGCCAUACGACCCGAAUCGGCCUGCCACCGGCCCGCUCUGCCCCGACUCCGUCCACCUCCCCGGCUCCGCCCCGACCGCGCCGCCUCUACCCCGACUCCGCUCGCCGCCCCGGCCCCGCAUCGACCUCUCCGGCUCCACCCCGACACCGCCGCCUCCGCCCCAACUCGGUCGCCGCCGCCCGGCCCCGCCUCUCUCCGGUCGUCGCGCCCCACCCUCGUUUGACGCCGAAGAAGACCCCGAGGAGCAAGACGGGGUUCUUCGGCGUGAGAUGAAGCCCUCCAGGAAUUGAGGAGUCGAGUUCUCCGACGCCGGCCGCCGUUUUUGGCUCGGCACAUACCCCACCGUCCACGAGGCCGCGCGUGCCUACGACGUGGUAGUGUGGCGUGCCGGAAGGCCGGGGAUAGACUUGAACUUUCCGGAGAUCGAGACCCAGGCGGCUGCGGAGAUGCUCGUGCUGCGGGGCAUCCGGUUGGAGGAGAUUCCGGCGAAGAAGGCGAAGAAGAAGCCGGCGGUUGUCGUCAGUCCCGGCGAGAGCGACGAGGCAUUGAUGGCGAGGUUUGCUCGGGAGCAUCCGGAGUACGUCCACGCCGAGCAGGAGUACUCCUAGAAGCGUGACGCCGAGGAGAAGGUGGUAAAGAAGGACGACGAGGUCGGCCCCUCGACGAUGAUCCCCGUCGAGUCGUCGGAGGAGGACUGGGGUGACUCGAAGGAGGAUGACGAGGGCUGCGACGACCCGGACAAGGACGAGUUCUGGGCACAGUUCCGCAGCUCCAACGAUGAUGAGUAGUUUCAUCUAGUAGUAGUUGAUUUAUGUAUGAAGUUUUUAAGUUUGAACUAUGUUGAAUUAUGUUUGAACUGUGUUGAAAUGAAGUAGUAGUUGGUAGUUUUCAGCAUUUUACAUCUCUACUUUGCAUCUUCUGUUGGAGUUGACAUUUUUUUGGAGAUGCAAAAAGCACUUUUGAAGAUGUAAACUUUUACAUCUCCAAAAUUUGCAUCUUCUAUUGGAGAUGCUCUAAGCCGACGGAGACAAUUCAACAUAACGAAAGAGAUUUCCUUAGAAAAAAAACAGAACACAAUAGAAGGGACAUCUUUAAAAAAAAUAGAAGAAAAGUAGAUGCGUAUGCCAUCUUUAGGUGGAAAUCAGAUUGAAAUUUUAUACUUCUGAGCUGGUUGUGAAAUAACACGGCAGUAUUGCAGGAAAUUCACAUGAAACAAUUCAAUUUCCACAAGAAACAGGAAAUAUUCAGACUGAUCAAAGAGGUCUUUAACUAUCUAGGCUAUGUAAAGUAGUGAUCUAAACACUCUUAUAGUUCCUUAUAGAAGGAGUAGCAGUUAAAUCUUCUUCUUCUUUUUUGUUUCUUUAUGAGAGCAAACGAGGUAAUCACACACAAUCACGCACCAUACGAAGCUUGUACAGCACAAAGCCUCAUCUUAGUAACAUAAAGAAAUUGCAUGAGCACAAAAGCCUCACGCUAUUUACCUUGCCUCACUUUGCUGUGAACCUCGUUGGUUACAGCAAUCAAACAAACGUGGGUGAAAAUGAGCAUCCUCGCUCGCACCUCUAGGACACACAACACCAUUUUUGACUGAAGUCUCAGUUUUUUUCUGUACAACUCAUAUCUUCGGCUUAUUGCUACAAAAAAAAUAAGACCAACCCAAGGGCUAAGCCACAUUGGCAUUUUUUUUAUAGGAGAAACUCCGCGAGCACCACGCGUCCGAGCCGGGACUCGAACUCGGGUGGGCUGGCAGCAAACCCCAGCUGCCCAGCCAACGGGUCGACGCCCCGUCCUCAUCUUCAGCUUAUUGCUAAAGCUAGACCACAGAGUUGAGGGUGGUCAUGUUUGCUGCUUGGUUAAUAUGAUGAUUUUUCACCGGUAGCAUUCAUGUAUCCAUCAGAAAGAAUUGGUCUCAACUUUCAACAAUAUAAAAAAUUCAUAGGCACAAGUAGGGAAAAAUGUUAUGUAGAAGAAGCAGCAAGUGACAUUGUGAUCUGAUGGCAUGGUAAUAAUCAGAGAGUUUUCACCACACUCGCCCUUUUAACUAAAACAUCUCCAUAGUACUACUGCAUAUUCUCCAGGAACAGCACAAUAUUAAUGCUUUUAGAACUUGGCAUAUCCUAGCUACACAAACAAAAAGCUUGCACAGCCGAUCAUCAG
This 64701-nucleotide long non-coding RNA is filed under the name Triticum aestivum (bread wheat). RNAcentral's name for it is "long non-coding RNA (TAES_LNC018188)". The stretch from base 5805 to 5920 matches the Rfam family "MIR1120/MIR1122 microRNA precursor family". Lineage: Eukaryota; Viridiplantae; Streptophyta; Magnoliopsida; Poales; Poaceae. The record is from RNAcentral.